Molecule: long non-coding RNA, 52679 nt
Filed under: Panax ginseng (ginseng)
Lineage: Eukaryota; Viridiplantae; Streptophyta; Magnoliopsida; Apiales; Araliaceae
Description: long non-coding RNA (PGIN_LNC010822)
Source: RNAcentral
AUAGCAACUCUCAAAAUAUCUAAAUACUCACAAAAAUACGCUAGAUAAUAUAGAGAGAAAGAAAACUUGUUUCUGGUGUGAUUUUCAAUUCUAACUUAAGCACAUAUUUAUAGGAAAAUGCUAGAACACCAGAGGAGACUAAAUAAUAAAAUAAUAAUAUUAUUAUUCAUCCUUCUACGCAUGCAGCCAUCCUAGACCAGCCAUCACCUUUGAAAAAUUCUACAGCACAUGUUUUCAAAAUAAAACAUAAGUGGGUCCCACCCAAUUUUAAUAAAAAAUAUUUUAUUUUUUGAAACUUCAGUAAUUCAUAAUAAAUAUCCCUUUUAUCAGAAAAAUACAAAUUUUAUGUCCAUUCCGCACGAAAUCAAAUUCUCUACAACUUUGUAGCUUUAAGUUUUUUCAAAUUCUAGACAGAACAUAUUCGAAAUCCACAAACGGAUGAUUUUUAACACCUUUUAAAAUUCAUAACAAAUCAUUCGUUAAUUUUUAACAUUUCAAAAUUUGUGGAUAUAUACUCAACUUAUAUAUGUAUAACAUAUCCAAAAAUCACAACGAUCGAACGAUCGGAUUAAAAUUAUAACUCACGCAAUAGAGCUUUAAGAACACCGAUUUGAUCUUUUAAUACCUCCAAUCCAACAAAAUACUGAUAAAACACCUCAACAUUAAUUUCUUCAUUUAUAACCACAUAAAUAAAUCCAUCAUUUAUAUCCGCAUCAAAUAAAUAUUUCCUUAUCAUAUAAAUCAAUAAUUAAUUAUUCACAAAUAAUAUUACAGAAUCACAAUAAUGACAACCAAGCAGUUCCCAGGAAAGAGGGGGCUUUCGAUAAGGAUUUCUCCUUACUGGCGCGCAAUUAGGUGACCAAACCUCUCCUUGACAGAACUUUCUAGACAUUACCAAUAAUGUUAUCUAAUAAUAUUUAUUCAAAUAAUAUAAAUUAUUGAUCUGAUAAUGGGAAAUAUUGUGCAAUGACAAUUAUUGAAACAACAAUAAUAUAAAAUAUCAACGCAGCAAUUAUUGAACCAAUAAAAUAAAAUAUUGAACAGUAAUUACUGUAACAAUUAUUGAGUAGUGCCUUCAUACGUAAGAAUCAAUAAUCAAAAAUACUGUGCAAUACCGUGUGCUACUGUGUAACCACGCGUAUUACUGUAUUUUAACCACCAGCUAUUCCAACAGUGUUAACGUUAACAACUACGUCGUUAUUUAUAAAAACUCAAACUUGUCAUUUUCUUCAUCCGACAGUUAUUCAUUAUGGGGCCCACAAAUGGCUGCGCCAUCAUACGAAAAUUCCCCAACAGCAAGAAUAUUCCACGACCAAACGAAUAUUCCCCGACAACAAUAAGUAUUUUAUAGCCACUUGCUUAUUUUGAAAAAUUUCAUAUAUCACCCUUAACCUUAACUUUUUAUUAAUUUAACCAUUUACUGAAUAAUAAUUAUAAGAAAAAUUGAAUACUUUUAUUUCAUAAAAUUCGGGGUCUUACAGAUUGUAUGUUAUUCAUGGUCAAAACCCAUUGACCGAGCAUGACCGAGCAUGACCGGAUGAUUUUUGGGUAACCCAAAAAUCAUAUAUCCGAGUCUGACAAUGUUUUGCAAGGCCCAGAUCUGUCAGGUAUGAUGUUGUUUGAUGAUAUGUUUAUAACCAAGUUGUAGCCUGCUAGAUCUACUCUAAAUAUAUGUCCUUAGAUCCUUCAAACCAUUAAUGUAUCGAAUGGAGUGGCUGGUCAAACUAGUCUACUCGACCUGGAUGUCUGUUUUCUGGAAUUUCCAGAAAAGGUAUGAACGAACCUUCUGACAAGGUUUGACAGGGAUUAAUCUAGAGAUUAUGAUGUAAUCGGACUGCAAUCAUGCUAUAUAUGUGUUCCUUGACAUAAGGACUAUAUACUUGAACCAUAAAAUUAGCAAACUAAUGACCAAAACAUUAAAUUAAUUGGGCUUGAAAGUGGCACCACAAACUGCUUGGGUUUCUGGGUUACCCAGAAAACCCAGGAACUCUCUGACAGUGACUUUAGAGGCUCAGAUCUCCUUGUUUGUUUGUUAUAUGACCAAAAUGAUGGUUGGAGAUUGUAGUGUUACAUUCCUACUAUACGAUUUGAGUCUUAGAUUGGCCAGAACAUGUAUUAACUUAGAAUCAUUAACGAUCAACGUAAGGCCAUUGCUAAGCCGGUUGUCAGUGUUCUUGAGCCCAAGAACACCUAUAGCGACAGAAAGCGUCGCUAAAGGAUACAACGACGGUUUUAAUUAUUUUAAUUUUUUGAAUUUCUAAAAAAUGAUUAAAAAUAGAAAUAAAUUUCUAAAAAUUACAAAAAAUGGUUUUAAAAAUUAUUUUAAAUUAUAAAAAAUAACUUUUGAUAAUUUAGGAUAUUUUUCAUUAAUAUUUAUAAUUAUUUUAAUAUUAAUGGUAUUUAAUUUAUUUAAUUAUUAUAUUAAAUAAAUUAGAGAAAAUUAUUUUAAUAUUAUAAAAAUCAUUUGAAAUAAGAAUAAAGUGUUUCAAAAUAUUUUGAGUUAUAAAAUGUAAAUUUUAAUAUUUUUGGAGAAUUUUCAUUAAUAUUUUAAUAUUAAUGAUAUUAGAUUUAUUUAAUUAUUAUAUUAAAUAAAUGAAUUAAAAAUAGUUUUAUUGAUUUAAAAAUCAUUUAAAAUUGAGAAAAAUGAUAUAAAAAUAUUUUAAGUUAUAAUUAAUGACUUUUAAUAUUUUGAUGAUAAAUUCAUUAAUAUUAAAAUAUUAAUGGUGAUGGUUUAAAAAUAAUUUUAAUUAUUUUAAAAAUUAUUUAAGUAGAAUAUUGUUGAUUUAAAAAUAUUUUAAGUUAUUAUUGAUAACUUUAAUAUUUUGACAAGUAUGUCAUUAAUAUUUUAAAAAUUAUAUAUUAAUGAUGAUGGGUUUAUCAGUAUUUAAAUCAUUUAAAAAUGAUUCUGGUGUUUGAAAAAUUAUUAUAAAUUAUAAUAAUUGUUAGAAAAUUAUUUUAAGCUUCCGAAAAAUAUUAUAAAUGAUAAUUGACUUAUCUAAUAUAAUAUUGAAGCUUUGAGACCGAGGUUAGUUGACAAUACAAGUGUUAAUUAUCGGAUAGGGUGACCAGUACAUCGAGAAUAGACCAAAGUCCAACCAGACUGAACUAGUUAGACUUGAGAAGUGUUUAUAUAGGUUAUAAACACUAAUAUAACUAUGUGAUAAUGUGUCUAGGAGAAAGAUUGACUGUAAAUUAUAGUAUUAUGUGUUAUGAAUUAUUGUGCUAAUUGUGAGACUGAUUGUUGAUUAUAGGUCUUGUGAAUGCAGAUAAGUAUAUUGUGCAGCAGUAAUCAACGCAGAAGGUAAGUUUCCUUAACUCAACCUUGAGUUAUAUCUGUUCAAUUAUUAUGGUGGUUAAUUAUUGUUGAUUAGACCACAUCUGAGAAUUAUUGUUGAUUAUUCACAGUUAGUGCUUGUUUAUUAAUUCAAAUUUAAUUAGUGAUUCUGAGAAUAUAUAAUUGGAGAAUAAUUUGUUAUUGGAUAUUUACAUCCAUAGAAGCUAUUAUUGACAUUACAGAUAAUUCCUAUCUAUUGUCGAAUUGAGUUGAGAUAUGUCUUAGCUAAUUAUUCUGGCUAAACGAACAUUUGUUAGAACUUGAUAAGUUGGAGAAGAGAAUUAAAUUAUUAUUGACAGAUUGAUGCCAAUUAUUUUGGCUAGAUCGAGAAAGUGAUUAGAUAUUGAAAUCAUUGUAUUUCGUUGUUAUAAAUCAAGCUCUGAUUAUAAGACUGAGAAGAACAACCUUUUAUACAAAGGGAACAAUUUUGGUCGUAUAUUCGGCCUUUGCGCGCGUGUAAGUAUUAUGCAUAAUAUAGGGUACAAGGAGUUGCAUGCUCUAAGUACUUGCAGAGGGGUAUGAUUUAAUCUUUAUGGUUAUCUGAUAAAUCUAGGUAUAUCAAAGUAAAUCUUUGAUAGUUACUCGAGAAGAGAAGUUCAAGAUCCUUAGGGAUCACUCAGCAUAAACUCUGAAGAAUAUUUCCAUCUUGUUAUUCAAUUGAAUAUCGUAGAAAUUUUGAAAGCGUUGUACUCUUUCAUUAUCAAAUUAUUGUGUUGCAUAGAAUGCGAGAAGACUUAUUAAUGAUUAAUGAUUUGUUCAGCUAAAGUAAAGUUCCCCGAACUUUGGUGUCAUUUUACCAAAAUAGAUAGUCUGUUAUUCUUGAUUCUUAUAUAUUCAUUGUAUGUCUUAACUUGCAGGGAAAAUUUGUUGCUCACCCUUGCUAAAUAAAACAUUUUAGCUAGGGACGAGGUGGCAGGAAGUACUGUGAAGAACAAAGGCAAAGGUGUUAUGCUGGAAUAAUUAUGAAAAACAUUAUUAUUAUGUUAUGUUUGUAAACCCUUUUUGUAUAUCUAAAGGGUAUGUUUGUAAUAUAAAGGUUAGAUAACCUGGGACGAAUGUAUUAACAAUAUCUGUUAAUGGGAUAUAUAUUGCUAUUUAUAAAUAAAUGGGUAGUUAGAUGUUAUUUAUAUUGUGGAUUGUGAGCACCAACCUCGGGGGUCAGGUAACCCAGAUUUGGGGGCGUCACAAGUUGGUAUCAGAGCUAUAGGUUAUAAACCUUAAGUGGGGAGGAAAACCCUAGGAUUAUAACCAUAAGCGAGAUAGAGAAUACUCAUUUAGAGUACUAAGUGAGGGACUACCAAAGUGUAUCGAUAGUGAGAAAGGUUGACACAUAGUGUGAGAAUUUUGUACUGGUGAAGUACUAAUCAAGUUGUUUAAUUGACUGUAGAAUGUCAGGAGAAGAUAAAAUGAGUACGGAGAUACCAUCGGCUGUUGCACCAGUGCCAGUAGCUGAGGUGCCAGCACAAAGUGAGUCAGUUAAAGAAGUGGGGAAAGAUGAACCUAUAGUUAAUCUUAGGAGUGAUCAUGAUGAUUACCCCGAGAUGUAUCUAAGUGGUGAUAAGGAGGCAGAGUCCGAAGAAGCUAAGGUGGAGAAAGAGAAUAAGACUAAAGUUGGAGAAAAAGAUCAAGUAUCUACGCAGAACUACAAGAACUCCAAAGUAAAGUGUUUCUCUUAGGGGAGUUGUACAAGACAGAAAGGGCGUUACGCGAGAUGACCGAAGAACGAAAUGAUUUGAAGGCACAGGUGGAAAGGAUGAAAACUGAAGGUGGUGGAUCGUCGGAGGGAACAGUCAAGCAGAAGGGAAAGAAUAAGAGAAAGAGGGAUCACGACAGUGAUAAUUCUAGAAAUUCAAACCCAAAGAAGAAGUAAGUCUCUAGAAAGUGUGGAAAGACUCACGUAGGAGAGUGCAUGAUGUGGAAGAACGUGUGUUUUAACUGUAAGCAGGAAGGACAUAUUUCUUUACAUUGUCCUAAGCCAAAUAUGAGGAAAUGUUUUUCAUGUGGGAAAAUGGGUCACGAAUUCAACAAGUGUCCCAACAAAAAGAAUACGGGUAAAGGGAAUGGACGGUAGAUAACCUAGAUAUAAGCGAUAGUAUCUUUUGGUAAGUCUGAAGAAAUGUUUUUCCUGUCCAAAUAUGAGGAAGUGUUUUACAUUGUCCUAAGUCUGAAGGUAAUGCUAUCAUAUAAGCUACCUCUCUUACCCUUUUUAAUACCUCAAAAGGUCCUAUAAACCUUGGACUUAACUUUCCCUUCUUUCCAAGCGUAUCUUUCCUUUCCAGGGAGAUACCUUUAGAAAUAAAUACGAGCCUACUUCAAACUCUCGAUUUACUCGAUGUAAAUCCACAAACUUCUUCUGUCUGUCUUGAGCUGCUACUAGACGCAUUCCUAUCAGCUUGACAAUAUUCGCUGUUUGCUGCACCAAUUCAGGUCCUAGCAUUUGGCAUUCUCCCACUUCGUCCCAACACAAUGGUGUUCUGCACUUCCUUCCAUACAAAGCUUCGUACGGCGGCAUGCCUAUGCUCGCAUGAUAACUGUUGUUAUACGCAAACUCUACUAAUGGUAGGUGAUCAUCCCAACUACCCUUGAAAUCUAUGACGCAAGAUCUCAACAUAUCUUCUAGCAUCUAAAUUGUCCUUUCGCUCUGUCCAUCGGUUUAUGGAUGAUACAUUGUACUUAAUUUCAGUUGCAUUCCCAAAUGUUCUUGUAGACUUCUCCAAAAGUUCGAUGUGAAUCGUGGAUCACGAUCUGACACUAUCAAGACUGGUACUCCAUGUUUGGAAAUAAUUUCCUUAACAUAAAGUUUAGCUAACUGAUCUAAGUUAUACUUGACCCUAAUCGAAAAAAAGUGAGCCGACUUUGUCAAUCGGUCCACUAUUUCCCAAAUAGCGUCAUACCCUUUCUGUGUAAUCGGAAGUUCCACCAUAAAUUCCAUCGUGAUAUGCUCCCACAAAGUCCAAUGACUGUAACAAGCCACUUGGUCGUUGAUGUUUGGCCUUAAUUUUCUGACAAGUUAAGCACCUACUCACAUAUUCUGCUAUCUCUCUCUUCAUGUUCGGCCACCAAAAACUCUGUCGAAGGUCUUGAUACAUCUUGGUACCACCAGGAUGAAUCGAGUAUCUCGAACUAUGAGCUUCUUGUAACACUUCCUCUUUUAAUUCCGUCUCAUUUGAAACCCAAAUUCUUCCUUCAAAUCUUAAUAACCCCUCGUUAUCAAGACUAUACUUAAUAUCUUUUUCCUUUGCUAGCCGAUUCUUCAUCGGAUCACACUCAUUAGUUCUGAGUUGUACCUCCUUGACUCUCUCUAUAAUGGUAGAUCGAAUCUCUGUUGUAAACAAUAUCUAUCCUGAUUCACUCGGUAACCUCACCUCCAACUCCAUUAUAGCCAUCUUUGUUAUUAACUUAGUUUGAGCCGUUAACAUAGAAAACUUUUCUCGACCCUUCAUACUCAAGGUAUCGGCCACUACAUUGGCUUUUCCGGGGUGAUACAGGAUAUCUCAGUCAUAAUCCUUUAUCAACUCCAGCCAUCUCCCUUAUCUCAUAUUUAAAUCCUUUUGUGUGAAGAUAUAUUUUAGACUCUUAUGGUCCGUGUAUAUCUCAUAUUUCUCUCUGUAAAGAUAAUGUCUCCAUAUCUUUAAGGUAAAUACUACUGCGGUCAGUUCCAGAUCAUGAGUAGGGUAAACUUUUUCAUAAUCCUUCAACUGCCAUGAUGCAUACGCAUUGACCUUGUCAUGCUGUAUGAGCAUGCAACCAAGUCCUUUAUGCGAAGCAUUACUAUAAACUAUGAAAUUUCCUGUAUCAUUAGGUAAUAACAAUACAGGUGCUUCACUCAAUCUUUUCUUCAGUUCUUGAAAACUGUCUUCAUACUUUUCCGUCCAUACAUAUUUCAUUGUCUUCCUUGUCAAGUUAGUCAACGGAGUAGCUAUCUUAGAAAAAUCUUGGAUGAAUCUUCGAUAGUAUCCCGCUAACCCAAGGAAACUCUGCACCUCAGUCGGCGUUUUUGGUUGUUCCCAAUUCAUCACUACUUCCACCUUCGCUGGAUCUACUGAAAUCCCAUCCCGGUCGAUAACAUGUCCUAAAAACUAUAUCCUUUCUAGCCAAAAGUUACACUUAGUGAAUUUCACAUAUAGCUUCUCCUUCCUUAGUGUCUCCAACACUAUUCUUAGGUGUUCAGCAUGAUAUUCUGGUGUCUUAGAAUAGACUAGAAUAUCAUUGAUAAACACUACGACGAACUUAUCCAAAUAUUGUUUGAACACUCUAUUCAUCAUAUCCAUAAAUGCAGCUGGUGCAUUUGUCAACCCAAAUGACAUCACUAAAAAUUCGUAAUGGCCGUAACGAGUCCUGAAUGUUGUCUUAGGUACAUCCUCCUUCCUAACCUUCAACUGAUGAUACCCAAUCCGCAAAUCUAUCUUAGAAAAAUACUUUGCCCCUUUCAACUAAUCAAAAAGAUCAUCGAUCCUGGGCAAUGGGUAUUUAUUCUUUAUCGUUAACUUGUUUAACUCUUGAUAGUCGAUACAAAGUCUUAACGAUCCUUCUUUCUUCUUCACAAAUAGUACCGGUGCUCCCCACGGUGAAACACUCGGUUGAAUGUACUUUAUGUCCAAUAGUUCUUGUAAUUAAACCAUCAACUCCUUCAUUUCUACCGGAGCCAUACGAUACGGUGCCCUUGAAACUAGUGUCGCUCCUGGCACAAUAUCUAUUAUGAAUUUGAUCUCCCUAUCUGGAAGAAGACCUGGUAAUUCGCUUGGAAAUACAUCCACGAAUUAUUUGACUAUAGGUAUUUGUUCCAUCGUUGCUCCCACUCUUUGGGUAUCAACAACAUGGCACAAAUAACCUACACAUCCCUUCCUCAAUAAUUUCCUAGUUUGUGUCAUAGUAAGACAACAAGAACUUCCCGGUGAUUUAUUACCGUAAAAUACUAUAUGAGGUUGUCUCGUCGUUCUAAUAUUUACAUAUUUCUUUUGGCAAUCUAUUAUUGCACCAUGGUUAAACAACCAAUCCAUCCCGAGAAUUACAUCGAAUUCUCCCAACUUUAUCUGUAUCAAAUCUAUCGAUAAUUUACAACCUCGUAUAUCUACACAACAACUCCUAUGAAUAUUUUCAACAGGAAUUAUUUCUUCGUUUGCUACCUUGAUAUUCAAAGGUACAGGAAAUCUUUCGGGAAGUAAUUCUAACCGUUUAGCAAAAUCACAUGCUAUAAAUGAACAAGUAGCACCCGAAUCAAAUAGCACGUAAGCAUUUAUGUCGUUGAUCGGGAUAAUACCUGCAACUACAUCCCCUGAUGCCACUGCAUCUUGGACCAUCUUGUUAAAGGUGUGGGCCAUCGGCCUACCCGGCUGAGCUGGACCACUAAUAGCUAGCUUACCACUAUUAGCGCCCUUAUUUCCGUUCGUCCCCUUCUUUGGGCAGUUCUUCGCUAUGUGAUCAGUUGAUCCACAUACGAAGCAUCCAUGGUUCUUCUUCGGACUUGGAUAAUUAGGAAAAAUAUGCCCCUCUUGUCCACAGUUGCAACACACCUACUUCCCCUUGAGAGAGACUCCUAAGUGAGUCUUCCCACAAUUCUUGCACGCCUCCAUUCUCUUCUUGGGAUCUCCUUGCUUCACUCCAGUAUUCCUAGAGUUAAAAUCCUUUCUUUUCUGGUAAUUGCCACUACCGUUGGUUCCCUCGAUUUUCACUCCCCCAUCUACUUUACCCUUAUUUUUUUCUCCCUAUAGUACUAGCUUAAAGCCUCAUUCCCACCCUCAGUGAUUAUCGCCUUCUCCAUAAUGGUCCCAAAAGAAAUACUUUGGAACACUGAUAUCCGGCUAUAGAGCCAGGAUUUCAAGCCCUGCUCGAAUCUUCUAGCCUUCCUCACCUCCGUGUCCACUUGGUGUGGAGCACACCUUGCCAGUUCAUUGAACUUGGAAGCGUAUUAGGGAACAGUCAUCUCCCCUUGUUUCAACUCUAGAAACCUCAUCUCCAUCCUUCCCUGCAUACUCGCGGGAAAUUAGUUCUCAAAGAAAAUCUCCUUGAACCGCGUCCACGUUAAGUUAUCUAUUUCGGCCCUAGCCUGGUUUGCCUCCCACCAAAAGUUGGCCUCCCCCUUAAUCAUGUAGGUAGCAAAAGCAACCUUUUUUCCCUCAUCAACAUUGUCAAUAAAAAAUAUCUUCUCUAUCUCUUUCACCCACGUUUGGGCUUCUAUGGGGUCCGUAGCUCCUUUGAACUCCGGCAGAACUACACUCUUAAAAUCCUUAAACAUAGUAGCCCGUACUAUCGCGGGAUUUAAGGGUACAUUUACCCUAUUCUGGUUAAAGGCAGCCGUUAAUAAAUUAACAAACUCUUGCAUCGGAUUAACCGGUCCCCCUUCCGGUUGAUUUACAUUUGCUCCUUGGUUUCUUUGUCUUCUUCUUGGCGACAUUUUUCUGUUAAAAUAAAUAACAUUUCAUUAUUACUUUCUUUUUGUUAAUUAGUUAUUAUUCAUUAUUAAAUAAUAACUCAUACUCAUUGUAUAACAUGUUCCAUAAAAGAAAACUUAUAUUGCUUUGCUUCUUGUAGUAAAAUACUACAUCGUUCACAUUACACAGCCUAAGCUGAUUACAUUACUUUCCCGUUAUUUCUUUCCAAAAAUUGGGAUUUACAAAAGACUACCCUUUGUUAUACAAAAGAGGGUUUUACGUCACUACAAAGAUACUACGUAUUUACAUAUCUAUUCUACUCUAACUAAUAGCUAGAUUACAUCUGCAUUAAGAAAUUUUCAAAGUCGGCAUUAGCAAGACCGACUAUCACAUCUCAGCUGAUAGUAUGCCGAGCCUGCCCCACCUCCAUAGGAUAUUCAGCCACUUGUCGCUGAAAAUCCCCGUGCUAACUCCUAUGUAUAUAGGACAUUCGGCUAACCUUCUGCUUCUUGGUCUUUAGCUCCUGCCUAAGCUCAAAGACCUCAUGUUUAAGCUUAUAGACCUUGUCCUUAGCUAACACCUUCUCAUCUUACUCCUCCUCCCACAUAGACUCCAUACUCUUUUUAUCCUCCAAGACUGCAUGGAGUUCCUUCUUCAGUUCCUUGACUUCCUUCCCAUAUUGAAUGUUUCUAUCCAAUACAAUUAUGAAUAGUGAUUUCAUUGACUCCUCAGACAUGCCAUCAAACAUAGACAUGAGGUCUGGGUUUUCAAAGUCUCCAGACUCAACAACUACCACUUUUAGCUCUUCAGCUACUAGGUUCGGUAUAAUCUCUACUUAAUUCACCGACUCUUCACUUACAAUAUGUAUAUCCCUAUACAUAACGCUAUCUCCUGACAUCUACAAUAAAACAAAUUAGUUUGAUUAGUAAACAUCAUUAGCAUAGUAAAAACACAUAUCACAUUUAAUGCAUUUUUAGGGUUAACUUCUUCUUUUAAUUCUUUAACUUUUCGUAAGGUUAUAACUUCAGGUUCUAUUUUCCCCCCUUAAGUUUUAUAACCUAUUGCUCUGAUACCAACUUGUGAUGCCCCCAAAUUCGGGUAUCUUCCAACCCGACAGAUGGUGCUACACGGUACUACCAUUCACACAUACAUUUAAUUAAAAUUACUAAAAAGAGUGAAUAUGUCUUCUAUAUAUUCCAAAAUAAUAUUCCCUUCCCAGGUUCUUUAUAACCAAUACAUCUGUUUCUUGUCAUAAUAUCAAAUAAUUACAACAUUAAACCUAUACUAUAACAUAGACAGUUCAGUGGUCUGCCUUAGCCUUUCCUUUACCCUUAGAGGAUCCUUCGGGUCGUUCAGUCUUAGUUGCAUUCAUAUGGUUCAAGCAAGAGUGAGCAUAACUAGCUCAGCAAGUAUGACAAUUUCAUUUAAACAACAUGCUUGAAACAUAGGAAUCGUAUAUCUUCAAUAACUGAACAAUAGUUAUGAAGUAUUAUCGAUAAUUCAAAAUAGCACUUUUUUUCCUUUAAAACAUUUCACAAUGAAUCACGUUCAUUAAACAUAUAGUUUGGUCCAAGACCUUGAGCAUUCAUUCUUUCUUUGAAAAGGACAACCCAUCAAUAAGUUCGUAAGUCCAGUAUUACUUACGAGCAGGUCUAGGUGGUCAGCCUAUAGUACUCUAUGUUGUAAAACACUUCUUCUGUAAACAUAUUUACGUUUAAGUUUUGGCAACCUCACGUGCCUGUCGUUUGAUGACAAAAUUUUUGUUUAUUCAUAAUCAGUCUUUCUUUGAAAUCCAUACCAAAAUAGUUUGGCAAAAGAUAGCAACUUUGAUAACAUUUUAAUAGAUUAUAAGAAAUUCAGUAUACACAUUAAGUCUAGCCGAAAGAACUGGCUUUGACCUAAGCAUACAUUAAUUUAUGUGCAAGAUACAUGAAUUGCAAAACUUUUUCAGAAUGAACAUAGACAAGGGUUAGAACACUUGCCUUCAGCGUCUUCUACCGAUUAAAUACUUUUCCUUUUGAGUCUUUAAGGUCUCUACAAUACAUAACCAGGUAACAUACUACAUUAGGUCACAGUCAGAUAUGUAUGAUAUCUAACUUAUCUUACCCUUCUUCUCAAUAUAAUUUGUUUAUUAGAUUUGUUAACAUUGCUUACGUUCUACCGUAUUACAUUGUGUUUACGUUCAAGUAAUCUUCCUUCGACCUUUAGUUGUAUUACUUAAGGUUUUUAACAUCUUAAAUGUUGUUACUUUAAGCUAAUUAAUGUUAUACUUCAUCAUUAAUCAACUGACUUCCUUUUAUAUUCAUAACCAUGCUGUAUUGUGCCUUGUCUAGUUCUGGCACUGCGGCGCCAGCUUCCCUUUAUAAGGCUCGCGCUACGACAUGAAUCUCUAGUAACUUAUGUCCGGACCUAGCGCUGCGGCCCCAUCCCUAGUUCAUUUAGCCGCGCUGCGGCGCCACUCUAUAGUUGGUUAUUAGCAUGCUCAACGCUGCGGCACCACCAUUUAAGCCUUGGUUGGCACUGCAGUGCCAACUCUGUGCAGCAGAAAACUUUGACAGUUUUCUUACAUAACGAACUUUCCAGACUCAUAAAUUGUUCAUUUUAAGUCCGAAUUGGCUCGUUCAAAAGCCAUUAGCUCACAAAUCAUAUGAACUAAGUGUUCAUAUAAGAAUUUUACAUUUUUGAAUUCGUUAACAUGGAAUUCACCAUUUAAAUCCAUUUUUACGAAAACGAUAAAUGUUCGUGAACGUUCAUAGCUCAUUUCUUCGUUCUAAGUCGGAAUUUGACCAUUUUCGAGUCCACAACUCUAAAAUGCAAAUUUAGACUAUUCUAUAUUGAAAACCAACAUUUCCGAGUUCAAUGCUAACUUUUGACUUCUAUUUCGAGAAUUUCACGAUUUCGACGAUUAUCGUCUAAUCUCGUAAAUUCCGCCAUAACUUCGUUACUUAAGAUUUUUACACCGUUCCAAAUGGAUUCAUUCCAUUAUCACAACAUGUAUAAUCUAAGCCUACAAAUUAUGGUUUUAAAAUUGUCCAUCAAUAACAACAUAAUCCAAUUCUUCAAUAACUUUCAAUGGAUUAUAGCUUUUAUACUUGUGAUUUCACUUUCACAUGGUUUAUUAAGGUUUCAUCUAUUAAAAAUCAUCCUUAUCACUCCUUAACAAACAUGCUUUACCACUACUCACUUCUCUAACAAAUGAAGAGAUGAAGAGUCAUGGUUUAGUAGUCUUACCCUUAAAGUUCUCUUACUUUCUUCUUAUUCUUCCUUUUGUUCUAGCAAAGUUCUAGCUUUUUUCACUUUUGUCUCAAUAAUAUGAAAGCUCUAAGUUGUUGGUGGAAUUUUGAACAAGCAAAUAAUUUAACAACCUUCUUAUAUUUAUAGAAUUUUCAAAGUGAGGGUAUAAUAGACAUAAAGCCCUUCCACCUCCUUAAUCCACCUCCUUAAUCACCUCCUUCCUAUUCAUCCUUGGUCACCAAGUAAAACCACUUUACUUGGUCACCAAGAUGGUGUCAUGUGAUCCAUGGGGCCCACAUGGGUUACCCCAUGGGUCUUUCUUACCCAUCGAUUCGAUCCACGGAUCCGGUUCUUAGUUUGGGCUUAAGUUUAAAUAACUUUAACUUAACAUUUGGGCUUGCAUUAACAAACAUUGGGCUUUAACAUUCAUUCACUUAGGCUUGUACAACUUUUACACAAAUCCUACAAGUCCAAUACACUUAACUUAAAGCUUAUAACGUAUUGUCUACGUAUUCCUCUCGUAUGUUAACUCAUAUACUCAUUCAUUAUAUACGAUAUAUCAUCAUUCAUACAUACUCAUAUAAUACCUCGUAUCAUACUCGUAUUCAUUACCUCGUACAAUACUUACGCAUCAUACGAUCAUCAUUUAUUCCUUAACGUUUCACUUUCCCUAACAUUCUCGAAUUUAGUACGCAGACGAAAAACUGUGUUUGCCAUACUUGAAUUAUUAUUACAUAAUUCAUCCUUCCUUGUUAUUUUAUCAUUAUGUAUUUCUCGGAAGUUGAAAAAUAAUUCCCAAACAGAAAUCGAUGAAUAGUGUUUUUCAGAAAAUUUCUCGAAAAACUUUUAUUUUCGUCUUAAAAAUUAAAACACUUUAAUUCUAUCACGUAGCCAAAAUACUACGACAUUCCAACACUAUUAGGUUAUAGAAUGACAUUCAUCUUGCUUACUCAUUAUAAAAUAAUUUUAUUCGUUAUUUAAAUAAAAAUAUUUUACAAAUGAUCCGAUUUUCUCGGUCGUUACAAUCUUAACCACAUCCGCACAUUUUAGGUCAUAGAACGACCUUCAUACAGCUUACUCACAUAAAUAAUCAAUUAAAUUCAUUUAAUUCAAAUAAUCAAAUAAAAAUUUAAUUCACAUAAAAAUACGAUUUUCUCGUGCGUUACACAAAUUACAAAAAAUACCUAAAUAAUCAAAAAAAUCGAUUAAAAAAAUUGAUUCAAUUCGGUAUUAUUCGUUUUUUACUCGGUCCUAUUUGAAUUGACAUAAAUUGAAUGACGAAAUAAAUAGCUAAUAAAUUCAUCCAAGAACGUUAAAAUUAGUUAAAUUAAUUAUUUUGUCCAACUCCAACAUCUCUUCAUCCACAAUAUUAUCUUCCACUUUCGUAUUUAAGAAUUAAUAGAUUUUUUUAUUUAAUUUUGUGUAGAAAUAAGUUGCCCUAUUAAUAUAGAUCAAUAUAUUAUUUGUCGUUAAAUACAUAUUUACUUUGAAAUAUAUAUAUAUAUAUAUAUAUAUAUAUAUAUAUAUAUAUAUGGCUGCAUCUAUAACAACCGGUUGCUAGGAGCAACCUAAAAAGUCAAGGCACAACAGCUUGUAGCAGUUGGGACAAUUAAAAUGGGACAUCCUAUUUUAAUUGUCUCAGACGCUACAAGCUGUAGUGGCUAGAGUAACCUUCUUUUUGGCACUUAUCUUCUUUUACCACUUUGAUUAUUAAUACUAUUAUAUUAAUAUUUUAUAAUAUUAGUAUUUAAAUAUUAAUAUUAAUAAUAGUAUUUUUUAAUAUUAUUAAUAUUAUUAAUAUUAUUAUAUUAAAUACUAAUAUUACAAAAUAUUAUAUUAUUAUUAAUAUUAUAAAAUAUUGUAUUAAUAAUAUUACAAAAUAUUAUUAUUAAUAUUAAUAUUAUAAAUAUUACAAAAUAUUAUUAUUUAUAUUAAUAUUAUAAUAUUAUUACGAAAUAUUAUAAUAUUAUUACAAAACAUUAAUACUCAUAAUAUAAUAUUAUUACAAAAUAUUAAUAUUAAUACAAAAUAUUAAUAUUUAUUAUAUUAUAAGUAUUAAUAUAUUAUAAAUAUAAAUAAUAAUAUUUUGUAAUAUUAUUAAUACUUAAUAUUAAUAUUAUAAUAUUUUGUAAUAUUUAUAAUAUUAAUAUUAAUAAUAAUAUUUUGUAAUAUUAUUAAUACAAUAUUUUGUAAUAUUAGUAUUUAAUAUAAUAGUAUUAAUAAUAUUACAAAAUAUUAUUAAUAUUAAUAUUAUAAAUAUAAAUAUUAUAAAUACUAACAUUACAAAAUAUUAAUAUAAUAGUAUUAAUAAUUAAAGUGGUAAAAGAAGAUAAGUGUCAAAAAGAAGGUUACUCUAGUCGCUACAAGCUGUAGCGGCUGGGAUAAUUAAAAUGGUACGUCCCAUUUUAAUCGUCCCAGUGCCAUGGAUGCGUAUAUAUAUAUAUAUAUAUAUAUAUAUAUAUAUAUAUAUUACCAGUGUUGGAAAAACUCCAAAGGCAACAGAAAGAUAAAAAUUAUUGACUUGCGGCGGCAUCAGACUAUGGUCCUACAAGCGCACGGUAAAGUAUAGCUUAUCUAAAUCAUAACUGAAAUUUUUGUAUCAGCUAUAUCUUACAAAUUUAUUAGCACAAAUCACCAUUUACUACUUUUGGCUAAAGAAAAACUUGUACAAAAAUUUACAUAUGCAGAAAAGGUAAACCAGAGGCCUAAAAAAGCCAAACAACUGGGAAAAAAAAUUCGAAGUACACAUUUCACAGGAUCUAACACGACCUUUGCUCUUUGAUGUUGCUAAAAACUUUGGAGAAAAGAUAAUUUAUAUGAUAGCUCAAAGUUUAUAAUGUAUAAAUGUGAUUCUGUACAGCAGAAACAAAACAGAGCAGUCCAGAAACGCAAAGUUCUAGAUAUGUAAAGGCGAGCUUAAAAAUCAACAAACACCCAAGCCAUAUCUUCAGCUAACAAAAGUUGUAGUGCUCAAGCAACGAACAAGAUCAACCAUCUGUUCAUUUUUCUGAUUGUUGUUACAUGUUCAUGAUUAACCCCGUCAAGUUCAUGGCAAAAUUCUGGCUGACCUCUCAUUUCUUGUAAACCAAACUUGGGAAUCUGCCGUCCUUGCGCCUCUCAAAUUCAACCUUGGGAAAUGUGUAACGUAAUCCUGUAUCUAGAUCUCAGUUUCGGAUAUCACCAACAUUUUCAAACUCACCGCGUUGGGGUAUCUUUAGAAUAUCUCACCUAUCCCUAAUCUAUCUUCUACUUUUGCUCAUUUGUCCUCACCAGGUACGUUCGGUUCUUUUUGCGGUGUCGGGUGCACAGGAGUUUUUGAUGCCUCUUCGUGUGUAUAAUCACGAAAGUUGAUUCUUGAAGGUUCUAUUUUUGUACAGAACACUUCCAGAAAAUUAUCUGUACAGCCUCGAUCAUAGAUAUUGUGUCUGUUGUAACGGCGAAAGUUCUCGUAUGUGGUCUGGAGAUAUAAUACAGCAUAAUUUAGACAAAUUUAUAGCAGUGAAGAAAUAAUAAAUAAACAAACAAAUGAUAUACAAACACACGUAUACGUAUGUAUAUGGUACAAUACCACAUUAGUAGCUUAUAAAGCAUUCAAAAUAACGAACUGAUGCAGGAGUCGAUGAAAGAAGAACUUCCUGGUUUUGCCCUUGUAUUAGAAACUUGGAAGGAAAAAAAAAGAACAACUUCUCGGUAUUCUCUAGAUCCUAAUGCAGGAAGGAAUUAAAUAAUAAUAGUGUAUUUGAUAAUCAUUUUGGAGGAUAAAUCAUUCCAAUGGAAUGGAAUGAAAAUUCAUUUCAUCCCUAUGUUUUUUAUUCCAUGUUGAGAAGGUAGAAUAAAAUAAAUUCCAAUGGAAUGAAAAUAUGUGAUAAUUUCGUGACAAUAUCUACCACCACAAAACAACUAAACAUACACUUAAAAUACCUUAAAAUCAUUCAAUUCCUUCAAUCCAAACGCAACAUAAAAACUUAGCAAGUAUAAAAUGUACCGGUGAUUUCUUGGCUAGAUGAGAAAACAAAGAAAAACUUUUAAUCACCUAUAAGCAAAAUAUAUGGGGAGGAACAAGUUUUUGUUAGUCAAGUCCUCACCCACUCCCGCUGUAACAAUCCAAGAUUUUAUUUAUAAUUUAAAAUAUUUAUUAAAUUAAAUAAAUAUUUUAUUGAUGAAGUUGUUGUUUUGUAAUUUGAAAUAUUUCUUAAAUUAAAUAAGUGUUCUAUUUAUGUGGUUGUUAUUAGUAGGUAUGUGUAAAUUAAAUUUAUUAGAUAACACUCUAAUAAAUAUUUUAUUAAUGUGAUUGUUGUUAUUAAAUAUUUAUGAAUUAAAUUUAUUAGAUAACACUCUAAUAAAUAUUUUAUUAAUGUGAUUGUUGUUAUUAAAUAUUUAUGAAUUAAAUUUGUUGGAUAAUAUUCCAAAUUAAUUUAGUUUAUAAUUUAGAGAGUUGUAAUGUGGCAUGAGAUGUUAUAUUGUUGUUUUAAUUUAAUAAUUAUAGUGAUAUGUUAAUUUAUUAAAUAAAAUUAUAAUGAGAUUAUAAUUUGUGAUAUUUGGAUUAAGUGGGAAAAUUUGUUUAGUAUGUUGUAAUUGGUUAUUUAACUAAUGUUGAAUAUGGAGAUAUAAAUAUGAGAUUUUAAACUAUAGUGUAAGUGGUUUAUUAAAAUAAAAUUAAAGUAAUUUUUUAAUUGAUUUAACCAAACAAGGCUUAAAAUAUUAAGUCUUUAUUUUAAAGACUUUUUGCCAAACAAAGCCUUAUGGAUUUUGGAUUUUUUAUUUUUGAAUUUCAAUUAAAUAAAUAAAAUAAAUAUAAUAUAUACGUUUAUUUUUUGUAACUGUCAUAACAAUUAGUAUGCGUAUUUAGAUUUUAUCAAUUUUAUGUAUACACUUGGCCAUAUCAGUUUUCUUUACGCAUACUUGACUAAGUCUGGGAGUUCAGAGAAUUGAGAAUUGAGAGAAAUUGAGAGAAAGCCUAAGGAUUACUAGCAGUUUCAGUGGUUUAGCAAGGAUUUCUUAAGCAACAAAAAUGUAUGUUACAUAACCUUAACGUAUAUAUUUUACAAGCCUACAAUCUCUAAGUCUCUGUGUUCAUGAGGUGCACUCACUGUGUAUAAAGUUUUACAAAAUUUUCUGUAAACUGUGUGUUAUAAUUGGUUAUGAUAAUAUGUGUAAUUGUAAUUGUUAUCACCAACAUGUCUAUAUGUAUAUAGGUGUUGUAUGCUAGAUUACGUUCAAAAAGAAAGGAAUUAUUUUUACAGUAAACAUCCAUGUAUGAACGUAAUUUAUAGAAAUAUCAAAAUUAGUAUAUAUUAAUUAUGAAAUUAUGAAAUUGAACCUUAUGUAUGUUAAUUGGGUAAGAACUUAAAGAGAACUUAGUUCAAAAGAAUCAAAUUGGUGUAUCAUUAUGAUUACAGUGUUCACUGUGUCAAGAAAUAUCAAAAAUGGAGUUUUGGUUUUAAAAUAUGUUAUUCCAGUAUUUAAUUUUUCUAGAAUUAUGGUUUAAGUUGUGUUAAUUUAGUAUUUGUAUGCUUGGUGAAGUUUAUGUGUAAUUUGCAUAAGUUAAUUGGUGUUAGAAAUUAAGACAUAGUUUUGUUCUGUGUUUUGUUUUGGGGUGUUCUGUAAUUCGGAGCUCCAGCGCCAAAAUAAGCGCCCCAGCGCCAAAACUGGCCCAAAAGUUCGCGCCCCAGCGCUGGAAUUCGCGCCCCGGCGCCACUUUCUCGUGCCCCAAUGCUAGAAAAAUAGUCUCGAUCAGACAGUUUUAACCUCAUAUAGUAAAAUGGCCAUAACGUUUUCAUACGAACUCCGAUUGAGGUGAUUCAAGAUGAUUCGGAAAGAGGACGAAUAGGCCUAUAACUUUAAUUCUUUAAGGUUUUCAAUAUGAAAUCGUUAUGAAGGGUCAAAAUGGCCAUCGUUAGGACUGUUGUGUAUUUGGAGCCAAUCGGAGGGCGUCGGGAUGCGCGAAUGCAAGUGCAAUCCUUUGUGUAUUAGUAUAACUUAAUGAUAACAUGUUGGACAUGUAAUAGGAUGUUGUAUCAAGUUGUUAAUGUGUAUAUGGUGCAAUGACAUGAUCACUUAAGUAGUUGUAAUAAAGCUAAAAAGUAAUGUUCAUGAAAAGAUGCGAUGUUGUUUAAACUUAAACUUAGUUAGUAGCUAUACUAAAAGUAAGAAAGCAACUCAUGAAGGUAAUGUUAGUGUAACUAAUCUGUAUUGUCAAUACAUAUGGUAUGUGUAGGACUUGGUGUGAACGUGAGUAGUGAUUGUUUAACCUAUGCACGAGGCAAGUUCCCUAACCUUUGCUACUUUAUUAUUCAGCAAGGUUACUUUUCACUGUUAUAUUAUACUUAUGCAAAUUCUCUAUUUCUAAUCUCUUGUUUACCGAUUUAUUGUCAUGAAAGUUCUUUAACCCUCAUUUAUUGUUGAGCAAGUUAGUUAAUCUUUGUUUAUCUAUUCCAAUCGAGAUUACCUUGGUUAUUCAAAGUCUGUACUCAUUUAUUGUUGAGCAAGUUAGUUAAUCUUUAUCUCUUUAUUCAAAGUCUGUAUUAUUAUUGUAAGAAGUGUGUUUAUUCAGCUACUAAUAACUGUUGUUUGAUCUUCGCUCUUCAAUAUCAUUGUACUAUCUUACAUUAUUGUAUCUAACUCUAAGUUUCUUAGCAAUUCUUUACCAAUUCAACUAAUCCUUAGUUGAUGAAUGUUCUAAACUCUAAAUUACCCUUGAAGUCUACCCAAACCAAACUUCCUUUGGUUUGUUUAUGUACUCACACAACUUUGAAAGCAUGUUGUCAAUGAUAACAUUUGUUCAACUUAGAAAUUGUUAAUACUCUAGCCCUUAUUGAUUCAUCGAUAUACCUUGUUCAUGAAGAUAUUAUAAUCAAACCCUUGAAUAGUUAUUGGUUCCUAUCUGAUUCAACCAGUACUUGGUUGAUGAGCGUUCUAAAAAUCUAGACUUCCUUUGAAGUUAAUUCCCAACCAAACUUCCUUUGGUUCGGAACCUGAUAAUCUAAGCUGAGAUGAACAACCCUAUAUCAGGGGAUUAUUUUAGAGCUACGCAAUAGCGUUAAAAUGUUUGCGCAAUACAUAGUACAAAGGGCUGAUCACCUGGAGUACGGAAUGAUGGUCCAUAUAGUCGUUUAGACUGUUAAAGGUUACAGUAGAAACACCUGUGAACCUAGGACAUAGAUGAUGAUUAUAGUCUUUUAGACUGUUAAAGGUUAAAGUAGAAAUACUUGAAAACCUAGAAUAGAGUUCGUGGUCUUGUGACCCUCAGUGUAUUCUUUGAUGUUGUUAUCUAUUGUUAACUUAAACGUUCAUUAUUCCUUUGAACUCAUAGCUGUUGAAUUAAAGUUUAUUGUUCCGGUAAGAAUACUUUACCAUUGAAAGCUCAGUUAAUUGUCAUUCAUAAAACGUUAUUGUAUAUUAUCCUUCUUGUGGGCAAUUGUUUGCUCACUCUUGCACAAAACAAUGCAAAUGAAGUUACGAAGUUUAAAAAGCUUUAUACAAGCAAGGGCAAGGACAAAGUGCUUGAUUAGACGACAACGUUUAAUUUAUAUUUUAUUUAUGAAGCUUAUGUAAUGGAUUUAGUUAUAAUCAUGUUUUAAUUUUCUGCGAAUGAUUGUAAUAAAGGUUAGAUGACCUGGGAUUUAUUUUAGAUGAUGUAACCCUUUAAUGGGAGAUUAAUUGUCUAAACUUUUGAGUUUAAUUAUAUCCUUUGUUUAUGGGUAGUUAGUUAUGAUUUAUUUGGACAGUGAACACCAAAUCUGUGGGGUUGAAGUGCCCGGAUUUUGGGGUGUCACAAGUUGGUAUCAAAGCUUUAGGUUAUGAACCUUAGGUGGGGAAACCUUAGGCUAUAACCUUCUAGGAGAUCAAAAAUAUAGAGGUGAUAAACUCUUAUCGAGUUUUAAGGAAUGAAUUGAGGGAAAUCCAUUGAAGAUAAAAUGAUAAAAGACCUUAUGUGUUUAUGUGUUAAUGACUUAUGUGCUCGUGAGUACUUAGGAGUAGCGAGUAUUAUACAUACUCGUUGAUUUCUGUUGUAGACCUUGGGUAUAGGCUUGAGUUUGAACGAGAGGAUAAAUUUGGGGUGAUAAAGGUGAAGGAUGAGAACGAGGAGGGGGAAUUCCUCCAAUGAGGUAUAUGAUCAUAACAUUGAGUUAUAAAAGAAGGUCGAGAAAUUAGAAGGUCAAGCUGUAAAGCACCAAGCCACAUUAGCGCAAGAAGAUUUCGCGACUAAAGACCUUACUGCACAAUUUGUAGAUGUAGAGCGGAUAUUAGCUCAGUCAGAAUAUUAAAGAGGAUAGUUAUUAGCUGGGAAUGAGAUUGCACAGUAAUGACUGAGAAAAGAAGUCAGCAAAGCGUGCGAGAGCUAAACACACAAGGGUGAAGGCUUCUAAACGCAUAGAUCGUGUUGAAUACAAGUUGAAGAAGGCCAAGCGAAUGAUGGAACUUAGAAUUUAGUAUUCUAUUUUCUAUAUAGGUUGAGAUUUAUUUUUGGUAUAUGAUAGAUCGUCAAUGAUUCGUAUCAUGGAGCAAGAGCGCAAUGAAGUUGUACAAUGUGGAAUGUAAAUCCUGACUUUUAAAUUAAAUAGUGGGAUAUGAUGAUGUAAUCCUAGAAUUUUAUUAUUACAGGAUAAAUAAUAUAAAUAGCAGUGAGGCUAUUUUGUUAUGUGGUGAUGUAAUAAAUGAAUAAAGACAUCAUUGUUUAUUAAGAUAUAUUAUGUGUUGUUUAAAAGUGGUUGAGAUAAGCUUAAAAGUUUUAAUGUAUGGAUGAAUGAUGAUCUAAUAGUUCAAGUUUUAAACAGUAAGAUGCCGCCUAGAAGAAGACAACAACGUCAACAGAGCCCCAAGGAAUAUGCAUACAAUAGGGAAGCUAACGCAAAUCUAAUGCCACAAUUGGUGAAUUUUCUGGUGGGAGCACUGGCAAAUCAACUGAAUUUCUGGCUAUACAAUCAAAUCUCGAUGUUCCAACCAAAUUCGUUUACAACAGAGCUGGAAAGAACGAUUGAUGUAGACGGGGAAGGUAAUACGCUGGCAUUCAAUCAAGAGCAGAGGGGAAGGAAGAGUGCAAAUGAUAAGGUGGAUGAUAGUUAUACCGGUAACGCCUGGAAAAGAAAGUGGGACAAUAAUAUUAACGCUGAAAAUCAGCAAGGGAAGGAAAAGAAGAAGGUGGAGGCAUGUAGCAACUACAGAAAAAAACAUGUAGGUGUUUGUUUGAAGGGAAAAAGAGUGUGCUUUAAUUGUGGUUUGAAGGGCCAUAUUGCACCAAAGUGUUCAAGACCGAGGAAGGAAGCCUGCUUCAUGUGUGGAUCGAAGGAGCACUUGGCUCGAGAGUGCCCAAAGAAAGCUGUAGGAAAAGCAAGUGGAAGCAAAGGGGGCAGUGGCAAACUGGUUAUCGUGGAAUCGGUUCCGUCUAGUCGACCAACUGAACAAUCAACCAACAUGACGAUCCAGGACGUAAUGCAAGGUAUGGUUCCGAUAAGUUAUCUAUACGGUAACGUGUUAUUUAAUUCAAGUGCCACUUGAUAAUUUUGCCUGAUGAAUUCGUUUAGAAACUAGAUUCGCUUCAGGAAGAGUUAGACUUCUCCCUAAUUAUGGAAAGUAUGAAUAUUGAUUCUUUUAAGUUGAUGUGUAGAAUUUAUAUAUUGGAAUUAAUAUGGCACCUGUGAUGUCUCUACCAGAUAAUACAGGAAUGUUGUGUUGUAUAGCGACGCGUCCUAUAAUAUACUAGGUUGUGUGUUUAGGCAGAGCGACAGGGUCAUUUCUUAUGCCUCGUGUUAGUUAAAAUUUUUAUGAGAAAGGAUAUCUGACUCAUGAUUUGGAGCUAGAGCUGAUAGUGGUUGCCUGAGGAUUUAACGAUAUUACUUUUGGAUAGUAGUGUGAGAUAUAAAGAAACCAUAAGUGUCUAAAGUAUAUAGGGGUAUUUAAGCAUGCGUUGAAGUGAUAGUAGGAGUUAAUCAAGGAUUGUGAAUGCAAAAUCCUAAACGAUCGUGGUUGCUGAGAUCUUAAGAAAAAGGUAGGAGUUAUUUUUAUUAACUGUGCAAGAUGGGUUCAUAAUAGAAAUGACUAAUUUGUGGUAGGAGGUAAGGUAUAUGAAAAGUCAGAGGAGAAGCUGUUCAGGUGGAAAACCGUAUAACUUUGCUAGACAGAGUAAAGGAAGAGUAGCUCCAAGAUGAGGGUGUCAAAUUCAAAAUCGAUACUGAAGGAUAGCUGAAAGUAGAAGGAAGAAACUAGGUUUCACUAAUAUCAGGAAUUGAAAAAGGAAGUUUUGCAUAAAAUUUAUAUGUUAAAUUAACUAGGAAGCACAAAAAUAUAUAUAUUGCCUUCGAUAAUACUAUUGGGGGCAAGAUAUGGUGAUAGAUUCUAUGGUAUGUCGAACUUAGCAUUUUACCUAUCGAACAGUGUGUGAAGUUGUAUGUUAACGAAAUUAUUUCAAGGCACGGUGUUUCAGUGUCAAUUGUUCCGAAUCGAGAUUCGCGAUUUACAUCGAAUUUUCAGAAAGGUUUGCAAGAACGUGUGGAACACAAUUAGAAAUAAGUAUGUCAUAUCGAUUGCAAAUCAAUUGCCAAACUAAAAGGAAAUCCAGACAUCGAAAAGCGUGCUACGAGCACGAGAAGUUUUUGAUAAUUUCAUACGAGGAAUCCGCAUUGAGCAAGUUAUGGGUAAGUUAAGAAUAAGUUAAGAGUAAGGUAAUGUUAGGUGGGAUUUCAAUUAAGGACUCAUAUAGUAACUAAGUCAAACAAACUUUUGUAUGGGCAGAGGUUUUGGUGCAUAUACUUGGUUUAUCACAUUGAUAAUCAUUGGAAUAUCGGUAUCACGCUAUCCAUGUACAUGUGGUCAAAAGGUGAUUCUUUUCUCAUGUACAUUUUUGAUAGUUAGAUGAUAUUAGGAUUAGGUUUGGUUCUUAAAACUAAAGCAUAUGGUAAGUUCGUGACUCAUAAUCAUAUGGUAUGUUUUGAACCCCUCAACGAAUGGACGCCUAUGGUCUGACUAGGAUAAGUUCCUAAACUCAUAUGAUUAUGGCAAGUUACUGAAUUUCCAAAGUGUGGUAUGUUUGAUGAACUAUAUUGGGUAUAAUACGGUUAUGGUGUAGGAAGCAUUGAUGAAGCUGAAAAGAUGGUUUUGAGGCAGCCUUACCUCUAUAGUUAGAGUGCAUUCGUAAUGUUUUUCAUGUUUUGGUGAUAUGAUCAAACAAGCCCGACUGCAAUCAUGGGAUGGUUACGAACCGUUAUGGUUGUUCUACUAGGAAAUUACUAUCCAUUUAGUCGACAGAAAAGAACAAAUGCUCAGGGAUAAGGUAAUACCUUCUGUGAAGGUGAUAUGGAGGAACCACCGCGUUGAAGAUGCUACGUGGGAACUCAAAACUGAAAUGAUGAAGAAUUGCCCUGAGUUAUUUGUUUACUCUAUGUCUUCAAUUCUGGGGACAGAAUCUUUUUAAGGAGGGAAGAAUGUGACGAACGAAUUGUUUGAGUUGUGAUUCUGGGGACAAAAUCUUUGUAAGGAGGGAAGGAUGUAACAAUCCAAGAUUUUAUUUGUAAUUUAAAAUAUUUAUUAAAUUAAAUAAAUAUUUUAUUAAUGUGAUUGUUGUUAUUAAAUAUUUAUGAAUUAAAUUUGUUGGAUAAUAUUCUAAAUUAAUUUAGUUUAUAAUUUAGAGAGUUGUAAUGUAGCAUGAGAUGUUAUAUUGUUGUUUUAAUUUAAUAAUUAUAGUGAUAUGUUAAUUUAUUAAAUAAAAUUAUAAUGAGAUUAUAAUUUUGUGAUAUUUGGAUUAAGUGGGAAAAUUUGUUUAGUAUGUUAUAAUUGGUUAUAUAACUAAUGUUGAAUAUGGAGAUAUAAAUAUGAGGUUUUAAACUAUAGUGUAAGUGGUUUAUUAAAAUAAAAUUAAAGUAAUUUUUUAAUUGAUUUAACCAAACAAGGCUUAAAAUAUUAAGUCUUUAUUUUAAAGACUUUUUGCCAAACAAAGCCUUAUGGCUUUUGGAUUUUUGAUUUUUGAAUUUCAAUUAAAUAAAUAAAAUAAAUUAAAAUAAUAAAUAUAAUAUAUACGUUUAUUUUUUGUAACUGUCAUAACAAUUAGUAUGCGUAUUUAGAUUUUAGCAAUUUUAUGUUUACACUUGGCCAUAUCAGUUUUCUUUACGCAUACUUGACUAAGUCUGGGAGUUCAGAGAAUUGAGAAUUGAGAGAAAUUGAGAGAAAGCCUAAGGAUUACUAGCAGUUUCAGUGGUUUAGCAAGGAUUUCUUAAGCAACAAAAAAGUAUGUUACAUAACCUUAACGUAUAUAUUUUACAAGCCUACAAUCUCUAAGUCUUUGUGUUCAUGAGGUGCACUCACUGUGUAUAAAGUUUUACAAAAUUUUCUGUAAACUGUGUGUUAUAAUUGGUUAUGAUAAUAUGUGUAAUUGUAAUUGUUAUCACCAGCAUAUCUAUAUGUAUAUAGGUGUUGUAUGCUAGAUUACGUUCAAAAAGAAAGGAAUUAUUUUUACAGUAAACAUCCAUGUAUGAACGUAAUUUAUAGAAAUAUCAAAAUUAGUAUAUGUUAAUUAUGAAAUUAUGAAAUUGAACCUUAUAUAUGUUAAUUGGGUAAGAACUUAGUUCAAAAGAAUCAAAUUGGUGUAUCAUUAUGAUUACAGUGUUCACUGUGUCAAGAAAUAUCAAAAAUGGAGUUUUGGUUUUAAAAUAUGUUAUUCCAGUAUUUAAUUUUUCUAGAAUUAUGGUUUAAGUUGUGUUAAUUUAGUAUUUGUAUGCUUGGUAAAGUUUAUGUGCACUUUGCAUAAGUUAAUUGGUGUUAGAAAUUAAGGCAUAGCUUUGUUCUGUGUUUUGUUUUGGGGUGUUUUGUAAUUCGGAGCCCCAGCGCCAAAUUUCACGCCACAGCGCCAAAAUCUUCGCCCUAGCGCCAAAAAUGGCCCAAAAGUUUACGCCCUAGGGAUGUAAUUCGCGCCCCAGCGCUGGAAUUCGCGCCCCGGCGCCACUUUCUCGUGCCCCAACGCUAGAAAAAUAGUCUCGAUCAGACAGUUUUCACCUCCUAUAGUAAAAUGGCCAUAACUUUUUCAUACGAACUCCGAUUGAGGUGAUUCAAGAUGAUUCGGAAAGAGGACGAAUAGGCCUAUAACUUUAAUUCUUUAAGGUUUUCAAUAUUAAAUCGUUAUGAAGGGUCAAAAUGGCCAUUGUUAGGACUGUUGUGUAUUUGGAGCCAAUCGGAGGGCGUCGGGAUGCGCGAAUGCAAGUGCAAUCCUUUGUGUAUUAGUAUAACUUAAUGAUAACAUGUUGGACAUGUAAUAGGAUGUUGUAUCAAGUUGUUAAUGUGUAUAUGGUGCAAUGACAUGAUCACUUAAGUAGUUGUAAUAAAGCUAAAAAGUAAUGUUCAUGAAAAGAUGCGAUGUUGUUUAAACUUAAACUUAGUUAGUAGCUAUACUAAAAGUAAGAAAGCAACUCAUGAAGGUAAUGUUAGUGUAACUAAUGUGUAUUGUCAAUACAUAUGGUAUGUGUAGGACUUGGGGUGAACGUGAGUAGUGAUUGUUUAACCUACGCACGAGGCAAGUUCCCUAACCUUUGCUACUUUAUUAUUCAAAAAGGUUACUUUUCACUGUUAUAUUAUACUUAUGCAAAUUCUCUAUUUCUAAUCUCUUGUUUAAUGAUUUAUUGUCAUGAAAGUUUUUUUACCCUCAUUUAUUGUUGAGAAAGUUAGUUAAUCUUUGUUUAUUUAUUCCAAUCGAGAUUACCUUGGUUAUUCAAAGUCUGUAAUCAUUUAUUGUUGAGCAAGUUAGUUAAUCUUUAUGUAUUAUUAUUGUAAGAAGUGUGUUUAUUCAGCUACUAAUAACUGUUGUUUGAUCUUCGUUCUUCAAUAUCAUUGUACUAUCUUACGUUAUUGUACUGAACUCUAACUUUCUUAACGAUUCUUUACCAAUUCAACUAAUCCUUAGUUGAUGAAUGUUCUAAACUCUAAAUUACCCUUGAAGUCUACCCAAACCAAACUUCCUUUGGUUUGUUUAUGUACUCACACAACUUUGAAAGCAUGUUGUCAAUGAUAACAUUUGUUCAACUUAGAAAUUGUUAAUACUCUAGCCCUUAUUGAUUCAUCGAUAUACCUUGUUCAUGAAGAUAUUAUAAUCAAACCCUUGAAUAGUUAUUGGUUCCUAUUUGAUUCGACCAGUACUUGAUUGAUGAGCAUUCUAAAAAUCUAGACUUCCUUUGAAGUUAAUUCCCAACCAAACUUCCUUUGGUUCGGAACCUGAUAAUCUAAGCUGAGAUGAACAACCCUAUAUCAGGGGAUUAUUUUAGAGCUACGCAAUAGCGUUAAAAUGUUUGCGCAAUACAUAGUACAAAGGGCUGAUCACCUGGAGUACGGAAUGAUGGUCCAUAUAGUCGUUUAGACUGUUAAAGGUUACAGUAGAAACACCUGUGAACCUAGGACAUAGAUGAUGAUUAUAGUCUUUUAGACUGUUAAAGGUUAAAGUAGAAAUACUUGUAAACCUAGAAUAGAGUUCCUGGUCUUGUGACCCUCAGUAUAUUCUUUGAUGUUAUUAUCUAUUGUUAACUUAAACGUUCAUUAUUCCUUUGAACUCAUAGCUGUUGAAUUAAUUUUCUUGUUCCGGUAAGAAUACUUUACCAUUGAAAGCUCAGUUAAUUGUCAUUCAUAAAACGUUAUUAUAUAUUAUCCUUCUUGUGGGUAAUUGUUUGCUCACUCUUGCACAAAACAAUGCAAAUGAAGUUACGAAGUUUGAAAAGCUUUAUACAAGCAAGGGCAAGGACAAAGUGCUUGAUUAGACGAAAACGUUUAAUUUAUAUUUUAUUUAUGAAGCUUAUGUAAUGGAUUUAGUUAUAAUCAUGUUUUAAUUUUCCGCAAAUGAUUGUAAUAAAGGUUAGAUGACCUGGGAUUUAUUUUAGAUGAUGUAACCCUUUAAUGGGAGAUUAAUUGUUUAAACUUUUGAGUUUAAUUAUAUCUUUUGUUUAUGGGUAGUUAGUUAUGAUUUAUUUGGGCAGUGAACACCAAAUCUGUGGGGUUGAAGUGCCCGGAUUUGGGGGUGUCACACCCUCCCCUAGAAUUUUCAACCUUCCCCACCCGUUGAUUUUCAUGCUAACUGCAUUUAUUACUCCUCUUUCUCCAUUCGGCUAUAAAAGGAAGGCUAAGGAAAGGGAUUAUACACACCAAUUCGGAGAAGCAAAACAUCCAAAAAAGGGAGUAGUUUUGUGAAGCUUUAGAAAAUAGAGAGAGAAAGGUGGUUCAAAUAAAUAGGAGUUUUAUUUGGGUUUCAUCACAUAGUUAUUGUGGUGAAGUAAUUUGAGUUUGUACUCAAAUUAAGAUAUCUUUGUAUUCUCUCAUAUUAUUCUAGUGAAGUGUUCGGAGUUUGUCCCGUGGUGUUUACCUCUUAUUUUUAUAGGGUUUUGUGACACCCCCCGAAUCCAGGUCCUCUGACCCCGGUCCGGUCAUCACGAUAAAAUACAAACAUUCACCUCUAAACAACAUACGAUAACUAAAAUGCGGAAAAUAAUAAACGUACGUCGUUCAUUCAAAAGGUGUUACUAGUCCCAAGAUACGAUAACCUUAAUAUCAUCUUAUACACAUACCCUAAAAUAAACAUUAGGGUUCAUAUUACAUAAUAGUAAUUUAAAACUAGGCAUAAGAUAAAGUCUGCUCCUUACCACUAUUCUACAUCUUUCCUUUACCCUUGUCCUUCCCUGAGGUCUCGGGCUUAGCUGUAAUAUAAUUCAUGAUAUAGCAAGGAUGAGCAACAAGUUUGCCCAACAAGUUUAAAUACAACAAUAAGGAUAUAUCAUGAUGAAUAGAAAAAUAACUGACAAUGAAUUCAACAAUAUGAAUAUCGCAAGCAAAGAUAACGAUUUCUUUUAGAAUAACUGCUAGUCAAAUAGACUUUGAACUAUAACACUCCAAUGGAAUCAAUAUCUAAUUGACCCUUUGGUUACUGGCUACAGAAUAAGUACUUGAGGGGAUCAGCCUCACGUAUACUAUGUAUAUGCAUAACAUUUAAAUCUGCUCUAUGUAUCUUAUAUUAGAUACCUGGAAUACUCCCCUAUCAUAGCAGGGGUAUUCUUUCAGUCUAAGAAUCCUUACCAUCAAUUGGUUUGGAUAGCUUUUAUAAAACUUCAUACUCUUGUCUGACCGAACAAAGGCUCAGACUCUAUCUAACACAGUUCAAGAAUUAUUGAACUUUAAAUGAUGUACAAGUCCAAGACUGUACAAACUCAAGUGCACUAAGUGUGAAUAUCAAUAAUAUCGAUGUGAAAUAAUUAUAAGGUAAUUAAACCACUUAAUAGCAUGCUUGGAAAUAAAGUUCAAGCUUAAAUGAAUAACUUUCAAUUCAACAAUAACCUACUCAAAUUUGAUAUGAGAAGGAUAGAAAACUUUCACAAAAACAAAGUUGUGUAAGUUAGGAAACUUACAACACAAAUAUAAUAGUGUUCGAAUACUUGCUCAAGUAAAAGAGUAAGAAUUAAGGAACUUGCACAAUCAAAGAGUGAAGUUCAGAGAAACUUGCUCAAUAAAAGUAGGGUUCAAGGAACUUGCACAAUCAAAGUUUGAGUAAGGUUAGGAAAACUUGCUCAAUAAUAAUUGGAGUAAGUUUAGGGAAACUUGUCUGUUUUCUCAGCUACAAUAUAAUUCUAGCUUUAGUUAAUUUGCGUUGAAAUGACCUAACAUUAACAAGUCGGCCUUUCCAAUUAGUACGCGUAAACUAAUAUGAGUCUACACUUCCAAGAAUCAAGUCAUCAUAUAGCAUGCUUAUAUACAUGUAUCAUUACAUUACACGAUUAGUUUCUAACACACUAUUUCAUAGUUGAAAUCACAAUUGAACUUUAAAGUUGUAAACAUUAAUUCAUAAUAGGAUUCUUUUCAAUAACAUGCUUAUUAACACCUGACUACUAUAUUGGACAUGUAUUACAGAUUAGAGUAAACAUAUAAGCAUGCAUCAGUUCUCAAUUUAAUAACAGAACUCAGAUCUCAAUGCAAGAUUGCAUAGCCGCGCUUGGUUUUUACUAAAGAGUGGCGCGGCCGCGCUGCUCCUGGUGCAAACCAAGACAUGGCUGCUUCAACAGGAAGCCAGGGCACACACAACUUGCACAUAAAUGAACAAUCAUGCACAACACCCAUGUUAUUAUAUAAAUAACUAACUUUAACCUUUCAUCAAACAUAUCAAAGGUCAUUAUUCUUUUUUACUUAAUCAAGACUACACAUGUUAAGCUAUCAAUCAUGUAAGUCACUUUACCUACCAUACAUAAUACUUUCAUAUAUAUACAUGCUAGACAUCAAAACAUACUUACAAGUUCUCAACUUAAUGUAUAUAUAGUUUAUCAAGUUCAUUUUCAAAAAUUUAAGUCUCCAUUAGUAAAAAUUCAUUCAAGCAUGCAAGAUUCGUCUAUAUUGUCUAAUUCAUGCUUUCAUAUGCAUUUGUGCACAUACUCAAGUUAUUUACAUAUGUUCACAAAGUCAGAAUGUAUAUUACUUCAUAUAUACAAUUUCUAGUUUUCAAAUCUUUAAGCCUUUUUAAAAUAACCAAGUCAAAACAAUGUUGGGCUUCGGCACAGAAACGCACAGCGGAAAUUAAAAUUUUAAAGCAAUUUCCGAAACCCUAAAACAGGAUCCAUACGAAAAUCAAUUAAUUCAGAGGUUUAGAGAUUAUACCAGAUAUAAACAAAAACGAGAAUCUGAAACCGACUGCNNNNNNNNNNNNNNNNNNNNNNNNNNNNNNNNNNNNNNNNNNNNNNNNNNNNNNNNNNNNNNNNNNNNNNNNNNNNNNNNNNNNNNNNNNNNNNNNNNNNNNNNNNNNNNNNNNNNNNNNNNNNNNNNNNNNNNNNNNNNNNNNNNNNNNNNNNNNNNNNNNNNNNNNNNNNNNNNNNNNNNNNNNNNNNNNNNNNNNNNNNNNNNNNNNNNNNNNNNNNNNNNNNNNNNNNNNNNNNNNNNNNNNNNNNNNNNNNNNNNNNNNNNNNNNNNNNNNNNNNNNNNNNNNNNNNNNNNNNNNNNNNNNNNNNNNNNNNNNNNNNNNNNNNNNNNNNNNNNNNNNNNNNNNNNNNNNNNNNNNNNNNNNNNNNNNNNNNNNNNNNNNNNNNNNNNNNNNNNNNNNNNNNNNNNNNNNNNNNNNNNNNNNNNNNNNNNNNNNNNNNNNNNNNNNNNNNNNNNNNNNNNNNNNNNNNNNNNNNNNNNNNNNNNNNNNNNNNNNNNNNNNNNNNNNNNNNNNNNNNNNNNNNNNNNNNNNNNNNNNNNNNNNNNNNNNNNNNNNNNNNNNNNNNNNNNNNNNNNNNNNNNNNNNNNNNNNNNNNNNNNNNNNNNNNNNNNNNNNNNNNNNNNNNNNNNNNNNNNNNNNNNNNNNNNNNNNNNNNNNNNNNNNNNNNNNNNNNNNNNNNNNNNNNNNNNNNNNNNNNNNNNNNNNNNNNNNNNNNNNNNNNNNNNNNNNNNNNNNNNNNNNNNNNNNNNNNNNNNNNNNNNNNNNNNNNNAUCUAGAUCACUCAUAUUUCUCACACGAUUAAUGAUGAACCCAAUAAUCACCUUUAUAGUCCACCCUAUUAAAGGUGACAUUUGAUGAUAUCAAAGUACAUAAAUUCUCGUGUAGUAAUAUAGCGAUUUCAGGUCGGAGGACCAUUACAUCAUUGUCACUAUGAGAAUUGCUAAUGACACUUCGCAUAAUGCUCCAUAUAGAAUUCUCAUGGUGGGUCUGUCCAGUACAUCGUUCUCUAACAUGUACCUAUGCAUUGACUUAAUAUCUCAUAUAUUUAUGACCAAUGAGAUUUGGUCAUCAGUCAAUCCACAUACUAGUCUCAAUGCAUCAUUGUUGUCCCAUCAACAAUGAUACUCGACUAGGGACAUUUAAGAACACUGAUACUAAUGGUAAUAUAUAAUCUCAUGUUCAAGUCACAUACUUGAAACUAUAUAAUUUGUAUCACUAUUCUAAGGAAUUUUAUUAUGUUAACAAUUAUAUUACGCAGUAAAUAAAACCAUAAUAAAAUCAUAUAUUUAUUCAAUCAAAUAUAAUAUCAAAACGUUAAGCAAUUAUAUCAAAUAAUUGGCCUCUAGGGCAUAAACUCUAACAAACAACCUAUUAUGGCUUACUACAUACAUAACUACCAUAGUCCACAAGUUCAGGUCAUUUGUAUGCAUAUAAUAAUCAAGGUAACAUGCUCAGAAUAUCUUAAGAAGCUAACAUGAGCAACUAUGAUCUGCUACCCGCGCGACCGCGCGGUGAAAGACUUGGGAAGUGGCGCGGCCGCGCCACUUCGACCAGAAAAAUAUGGCAUCUGCUUCUGUAGAGGCUCAAUUCCAAACAUUGCCAAACAUCUUUAUGCAGCAAUCCAACUACUUCUAAUACUUCUAAGCAUGCAUACUAACUUAAACAACACAGAGACAUGCUAAUUCAUAACAAUAACAGAGAAUUCUUGAGAAUUGUAAGAAUUUGACAAAAACCCAACUAAGAACAAAAGCUUAGGAUUUUAUACCUCUUGGAGCUAAAUGAACUUAGUUUCUUCCUCUGAGCUUGCAACCUCUUCUUUGGACAACACACACUCAAUUUCAAUUUCUUAGAGUUUAAACAAACAAUUUCAAGUAACGUAAAAACUAAAAAUGGAGCUGCCAUUUAUAGAAGGAGCUUGAACUGGGCACUCAUUUUACACUGAGGUUUGAAUCAAAGGAAAAAGAAAGAAAACAUUGGACAAUGAAAGGUUGUCCAACUGCCCACCCCCAUAGCCAAUGGCCUAACACUCACUAGCCACUGAUAAUUACGUAAACUAGCUCCAUGUUACUGUUCAUGUACUGAUAUUUGACUCUCAUUUUGGGACAAGCUCAGCAACAAGCUUGGUUUGGUUACUAUAAUUCCCAACAUGUAAUUUUAAUGUGUUAAUGCUACUGCACAAAGGAAAUUUGGGGAUUAUUUAUGUACUCACAUUAUAUAACCCAUGUACAUUUUCUAUUACCAUGACUGUUAUUAUCAUAAUAACUUAAUGAAAUCAUUAUUAAUUUAACAAUUGAUAUGAUUAUAUGUCAAUAGGGUAUACCUGAAUGUUUACCCACACACUUCACAUCAUAUAACAAUAUUAUUAUGCAACUCACAUGAAUGCAAAUAACUCUUACUAUAUAGUCUAUAUAUAUAAUAUAUAGACAUAUUAAAUGUGCCACCUUGUACUAUAUAAAAUAUAUAGUUAAUUACCAUAUAAUACAUGUUUAGUACAUUGCAUGUUUGCACAAAUUAAUCAAGUAAAUAUAAAAUCACUUUAUAAAUUAUUAAUCUCUUACUCAUUAAUUAUUAUUUAUUCAUAAUAAUUAUUAAUUAACACAUUAUCAAUUAAUUACUCAUAAUUGCAAUUAGUCAAUAUGUUCAACUCUUGCCACCAUAUUCAAAUAAAUUGAAUAUUUAAUUAUUAAUAAUCCUAUCAAUUCCUUGAUAUUAAAGCCUUAGGGUUUGUCCACUAAUUUAAAUAAACUAUUAGUGACUCCCUUUAAUCAUUUCAUAAAUUCACAUAACCACAUAAGGUUUAAAUAAACUCACAAAAAUAACUCAUUAAAAUUAAAUCACAUAUUUAAUUAAUAAAGGAGUUUAAAAUUUGUGCACGUUACAGGUUUUUCACGUAAAAUCUUGGUGUCUCGUGUUUGAAUAUUUUUCCUACUUAUUAUUUCCUGCAUGGUUAUUAUUUUGGUGGAACUGUAAAUUUAAUCUGUUUGGCAUGUGCUGAUAUUUUAUCCAUCUAAUUUAUCAAAGGCAACAAUAUUUGGGAGGUGAUUUUUUCCCAACAACUAGUAUCAAAGCUAAGGUUAUUUGCUCGGUUGUUUUUGAUAAAUUUUAUGGAGGAAUCAGUCGGAGCCAUGAUUAAAUUGACCUCUUCAAAUUUUUCGAUCUGGAAGCCCAGAAUGGAGGAUAUCCUUUAUUGCAAGGAUCUGUAUGAUCCGUUGGAGCUCAAGGGACACGAGCCCGCGGAUAAGUCUGAGGCUGAUUGGAACAAAAUGAAUAGGAAGACUAUUGGUCACAUCCGGCAGUGGAUUGAUCAAAGUGUGUUCCACCAUAUUUCGCAUGAGACGGAUGCUCACACUUUAUGGCCAACACUAGAGUCUAUGUACGAGAAGAAGAAUGCACAAAAUAAAACUUUUGUUAUUUAAAAAAUUGUGAAUCUAAAGUACAAGGACGGGAGCAUAGUGUCGGAGCAUAUGAGUGAGUUCCAAGGUUUGGUGAACCAGCUGUCCACCAUGAAGUUGAAUCUUGAUGAUGAGAUUCAGGCUCUUUUGCUUCUCAGUUCAUUGCCAAACAGCUGGGAGACUUUGGUGGUGUCUUUAAGAAAUUCAGCUCCAGAAGGAAAAAUGACUAUGCAGAUGGUUAAUGACAGUCUUCAUAAUGAGGAGACCAGGCGAAAUGAGCAAGGCAUAAAUUUUGAGACACAUGCUCUUGUCAUAGAGAACAGGGGCAGGAGAAAUUUUAGGGGAUCUCACAAAGGAGAUACAAGUCGCAGCAAAAGCAAAAAUCAUAGGAGCAAGUCAAAGACCAGACAAGGUGAAACGUAUCGAUGCUUUCAUUGUAAUAAGGAAGAUCAUUACAAGAGAAAUUGCAUAACAUGGUUAGACAAGCAGAAAAAUGGUGAGCAGGGAAAGGUUAAGGAGAAGAACACUGCAGCCACAGUCACUGAAGAUGUUGUUAUUUUUCAUUUGGGGAAGAAAAAUGCUUGCAUGUUGAUGAUCAGAAAGUUGAUUGGGUGGUUGAUAUUGGUGCCUCGUAUCAUGCUACACCUAAGAGAGAAUUUUUCACAACUUACAAAGCUGGAGACUUUGGGUACGUGAGAAUGGGAAAUACUGAUCAGUCCAAGAUUAUUGGAAUUGGUGAUGUUUGCAUUCAGACAGGCGUUUGUUGCACUGUUACCUUGAGGGAUGUUAGGCACGUUCCUGAUUUAUGUCUCAACUUAAUUUUUGGCAUGGCCUUGGACAGAGAAGGCUAUGAGAAUCACUUUGGCAGUGGAAAGUGGAAGCUUACCAAGGGCUCUAUGGUGAUUACAAGAGGCGUUGCUUGUUGUUCGUUGUACAAGACUCAUGAGAAAGUGCGUUCUAGUGAAUUGAAUGCAGUUGAGGAUGACUCUUCACCAAACUUAUGGCAAAAGAGGCUUGGCCACAUAAGUGAGAAAGGGUUACAAUUACUAGCAAAAAGGUCACUCAUUCCUUUUGCUAAAGGUACUGUUUUAAGCCCUUGUGAUUAUUGUUUGUUUGGGAAACAACAUAGAGUUUCUUUUAGUAGUUCAACUAAAAGAAAAUCAGAGCUACUAGAGAGAGUAUAUUCUGAUGUAUGUGGACCCAUUGAGGUUGAGUCUUUGGGUGGAAAUAGGUACUUUAUUACCUUUAUUGAUAAUGUUUCGCGGAAGGUGUUGGUAUUUUUGUUGAGAACAAAAGACUAGGUAUUCCAGCAUUUUCAGAGUUUUUAUGCUAUGGUUGAAAGGGAGACUAAAAAAUCAUUGAAGUGUCUUCGUAGUGACAACAGAGGGGAAUACACUUCAAAGGAGUUUGCUGAAUACUGUAGUAAAUAUGGCAUUCGACAUGAGCAGAUUGUUCCUGGUACCCCCACAGCAUAAUGGUGUGGAUGAGAAAAUGAACUGCACUAUUAUUGAGAGAGUGCGAUGCAUGUUGAGAAUGGCUAAACUACCUAAGUCAUUCUGGGGUGAAGUUGUUCGUACUGCUUGUUACCUGAUUAAUAGAUCUCCAUCAGCACCGUUGGAUUUUCAGAUUCCAGAAAAGAUUUGGAGUGGUAAGGAUUUUUCUUAUUCUUAUUUGAGGGUAUUUGGGUGCAAGGAUUUUGCAUAUAUCCCCAAGGAACAAAGAUCGAAACUUGAUGACAAGUCUACUCCAUGUGUAUUUUUUGGCUAUGGAGAUGCAGAGUUUGGAUACCGGUUAUGGGAUCCAGUGCAGAAAAAAUUAUUCAGGAGCAGAGAUGUGGUGUUUCAUGAGCACCAAAAUUAUGAGCAUUUUGAUAAUGCUACACAACCCAGAGAUAAUAAAGUUCCAGAUCUCAGCGAAGUUCCUUCUCCAGUACAGAAUGCCACAGUUGGAGAAGGAGGUCAGAAUGAAGAUAUGACUAAUAUAGAUUUGCACGAUGGUGAUGGGUCAGAUGUAGAGAGUGUUGAUCAGGGGGAGCAACCUGAUAUUGAAGAACCUCAGUUAAGAAGAUCCACUAGAGAACGUGUGCCAUCAAUCAGAUAUCCUUCAUUUGUAUAUCUUUUAGUUACUGAGGAGGGGGAGCCAGAGGAUUUUCAAGAAGUCAAGACUCAUAAAGAGAAAAGCAAUUGGCUUAGAGCUAUGCAGGAUGAGAUGGAUUCUUUGCACAAGAAUCGCACCUAUGAGUUGACUACACUUUCAAAGGGCAGAAAAGCAUUGAAGAACAAAUGGGUGUUUAAGCUUAAGAAGGAUGGUGAAAAACUAGUGAAGUACAAGGCUCGAGUAGUCGUCAAGGGUUUUGCUCAAAAGCAAGGUAUUGACUUCGAUGAGAUUUUUUCUCCAGUUGUGAAGAUGACUUCUAUUCGAGUAGUGUUGGGGUUAGUAGCUAGUAUGGAUCUUGAGCUUGAGCAGUUGGAUGUGAAGACUGCUUUUCUUCAUGGUGAUUUGAAGGAAGAAAUCUACAUGGAACAUCUAGAGGGAUUUGAAGUUAAAGGGAAAGAACACUUGGUUUGCAAGUUGAAGAAAAGUUUGUACUGCCUGAAACAAGCCCCAAGGCAGUGGUACAUGAAAUUUGAUUCAUUUAUGGUGGAUCAAGGUUACAGUAAAACAGUUGCAGAUCAUUGUGUGUAUGUUAAAAGGUUUCCGAAUGGUAACUUUGUUACUCUGUUGCUAUAUGUAGAUGAUAUGUUGAUAGUUGGACAGGAUGCCGAUAUGAUUCGCAAGCUCAAGGGUGAGUUAUUUAAGUCCUUCCAGCUAAACAGAUUUUGGGUAUGAAGAUUGUUCGUGACAGGAAAGCCAAGAGGUUGUGGUUGUCACAAGAGAAGUAUGUUGAGCUGAUGCUUGCAAGGUUCAACAUGGGUGAUGCUAAACCAGUUAGCACACCACUGGCUAGUCCUACUAAGUUGACAAAGUACAUGUGUCCUUCUACCAAGGAAGGGAGAGAUGAUAUGGCAGCAGUUCCCUACUCCUCUGUUGUAGGGAGUCUUAUGUAUGCAAUGGUUUGUACGCGGCCAAAUAUUGCUCAUGCAGUUGGCGUUGUGAGCAGGUAUUUGUCAAAUCUUGGUAGAGAACAUUGGGAAGCAGUUAAGUGGAUUCUCAGAUACUUGAAAGCUACUUCUAGUUUAUGUUUGGGUUUUGGGAGUACGAGUCCAAUCUUGGAGGGUUUUACAGAUGCAGACAUGGAAGGUUCUGAAGAGAAGAAGUCUACUUCGGGAUAUUUAUUUACUUUUGCAGGGGGAUCAGUAUCAUAGCAGUCCAAGUUGCAAAAGUGUGUUGCUUUGUCUAAAACUGAGUCAGAAUACAUCGCUGCUAUUGAAGCAGGCAAAGAGAUGUUGUGGUUAAAACGGUUUCUCCAAGAGUUGGGUUUAAAACAAGAUGAGUAUGUGGUUUAUUGUGAUACUCAGAGUGCAUUUGACUUGACCAAGAAUGCCACGUAUCAUAAUCGGACCAAGCAUAUUGAUGUUCGUUAUCACUUGCUUCGAGAAGUGAUGGAAAAGGAAUUGAUGAAAGUGAAGAAAGUUCAUACCGACAAGAACCCCUCAGACAUGUUGACAAAAGUUGUCACUCGCGACAAGCAGGAAUUUUGCAAGGAAUUGGCCGGGAUGGACUCCAAGUGACGGGGUCACAAAAUUACCUCCUCUAAUGGUUUCGGAGGGGGAGAUUGUUAGUCAAGUCCUCACCCACUCCCGCCCCUUGAAUUUUCAACCUUCCCCGCCCGUUGAUUUUCAUGCCAACUGCAUUUUUUACUCCUCCUUCUCCAUUCGGAUAUAAAAGGAAGGCUAAGGAAAGGGAUUAUACACACCAAUUCGGAGAAGCAAAACAUCCGAAAAAGAGAGUAGUUUUGUGAAGCUUUAGAAAAUAGAGAGAGAAAGGUAGUUCAAAUAAAUAGGAGUUUUAUUUGGGUUCCAUCACAUAGUUAUUGUGGUGAAGUAAUUUGAGUUUGUACUCAAAUUAAGAUAUCUUUGUAUUCUCUCAUAUUAUUCUAGUGAAGUGUUUGGAGUUUGUCCCGUGGUUUUUACAUCUUAAUUUUAAAGGGUUUUUCACGUAAAAUCUUGGUGUCUCGUGGUUGAAUAUUUUUCAUACUUAUUAUUUCUGGUUAUUAUUUUGGUGUAACUGCAAAUUUAAUUUGUUUGGCAUGUACUGAUAUUUUAUCCAUCUAAUUUAUCAAAGACAACAAUAUUUGGGAGGUGAUUUUUUCCCAAAAGUUUUAACCACGGACAGAGUUAGUAUAGGGCCCAAGCUACCCUGAAAAUUUUGAAUUUCUUUUAAGCUUAUAAAAUUUUAAUUUUUUUUUUAUUCAAGCCCCCCAAGAUCUACAAAAAUAAAUAAAUUAUAUAUAAUAAUUCUUUUUGAAAAAUUACAAGAAAGUACUCCAUUCCAAAUAUAAGAGUCAUUUUUAUUAUUUUACAGUCUAUUUAAAACGUGGGCUAAUCCAUAAAUAUAUCAUUAUUCCCAUUUUCUAAGUAUCAUUAUAUGAAUAUCAAGUUUUGGGGUCUCUUUUUGCUCCACUUUGUGUACUAUAAUAUAAAGGUCCAUAUAUACUCUGCAAAACAAAGAAAUCAUAUUUCAGUCAGAAAGUCUAUAAAAUUGUCCAAUAAACCCCAGACCCCCACUAAAUUACACAUGACCUUAUAGUAUUAUAUCCCAGCCCCGAAAAUACUUUAUGGUUUCUUCCCUUGUUUCAAAUGUGAAGAAGUAAAACAAGGCGGCAUUCAUGAUACCCCAAUGUAAUCACCAUGUAGCUGUUCUAUCAUCUGAUGUAACAUCAAAAGGAACCCAUUGGUAUAUAUGCAUAUUCUAUCAAAUGUAAACACAUCAACGGGUUGCUUAAAAUAUACUAGUAGCCUUUUUAUGAUUUUCCACUUUUCUUGAUUGAGAGUUUUAAAAGAAAGACAAAAAUCAAGUAUCUAUAUAUAUUUGCUAAUUAAGGUGAAAUUUAACAUUCCUGCCUUUAACAAAGAUGGAUCCCAAGACCUCCUUGUGCUCAAGAAGUGGGCUUAACAACUGUACCAAAGGAGACUUGGUCUACUCUAUGUAUCCUUUAUCCCUAUGAAUACCAAAAAAAAUAGAACGCCAAUCAGAAGGAAUCCUUGAUUGGUUCUUCCAGAGGAAUGAUCCUAUUUUUUUAUUUGACUGAUGAGGCCAAGAAGGAUUUCUCAUCCUCCUCAUAUCAUUUUGUACUUUAUCUCCUUAUUCUAAAUAAAUCUUCUUUCCUAUUGUAAAAAUAAAAAGAAAAACACAUGCCAUUGUCCAAAAUGAACAAAAACUAUGUCAACUGACCUGGUUUGUGCUUAUGAGGUACAAAUGGAAGCAAGUCAUACCCCCAACGAACCAUAGAAAAAGGAAACAAUACGCCAUUAGUAUCACUGAUGCAGGAGAUUGUUUCAUUGCCUUCCAAACUGUGCCAUAAUCUUCCACGAGAAAAGUCAUGUACAAAGCCGACAUUGAAAACACAAAGAUGCAGAGAAGCGCUGAAGAAGAAACAAAUAAGAAGAAGCACCGGUAGUUGCGCUGCACAUAAAAUAUGUAAUUAGCUCUUUAAUGACACUAACAGAAAAGCAGCAAGAUCCUUUCCUCCCUUCCCAGAAUAAAAUAACACUAAUCUCUUUCUUUGACAAGCACCAUAUGUGCUUUUUUAUUUACACAUAUACUCGAUUCAAGUCAACAUUGCCGGUCACAACUUGGCAACUUCUUCUCUUCACCUUUCUGCUAUUUUAUAUACUGAGCUGCUACUUAUCCAAUAACUACGUUAGUCAAACAUUCUUCGUCAAAUUAGCACAAUAAAAACUCUCAUCUUUGAGAAAUCAAACUACAGAGGUAUAUAGAAGUUCUCUCAUCUCAUGAAACAGAUCCCCCAAGGAUAAAAAUGACAAAAGUUGAGGUACUGGUCGAUGUAACUAAGACAUCAUAAUUUUAAUCAGAAAUUUCCAAGCAAUAUUGAUUGGCCAAAUCUGAACUUUUCCCGAGUUAAUAACUUGCUCGAUCGAAUACUACAGUGGUCAAAUUUCAGAAGUAAACUUGUACCGGUUCAAAUUCAGAUAUUCUUUAUCAUUUAAUUAACAUAGUGAACAAAAUGCAAUGUUAUAACAAAGUGACAUGAACAAUCCAGGAGCAUUAAGAAAGAAAAUCCCUAGGAGAGGGGAGGGCUGAUUAUGAAAUGAAAGAAGUAGAGAAAAAGGAAAUGAACAAACUAAAUUCAAACCUUUUCGAUGCAUUGACCCACCCAGGGGCAAUGGUGAUCGAAUCGCUCCACACAAUUAUCACAUAAAGCACAAUGAGAGCAUCGUGGAGGACGAAACACCAUGCAUGUUUCACAAUAUUUAACCCUCACAGGUACACCAUUAACAAAGACUUCUUUUGUACGGGGGAAUUUUGUUGGUGUCGAUGCGAAUGAUCUGCCAGUUUCAAUAGAAGGCGGGGAUUCAUAACCAAGCUCUUCAUCUGGCAUUAGAGUUGCGCGGGGUACAAUGCCAGGGUCCUGAGCUGCAGUUACAAGUAGAAGCACCAAUACCUAUCACAACCAAUAUGGUAUUAAUAUUGACCAAUGACUUGUAACAAGAAAACUACCAAAGAAAGGAAAAAAGUGUGCAGGCCUAAAGUUGAACUAUAAUACAAAAUGAAACUAGUGAAACUCAAAAUCACACCAAAAUAACGUUGAUAACCAUUGUAACAACCGAGAAAUUCGGAUUUAUUGUAAAAUAAUUUUAUUAAUUAAAUAAUGAAUAAAAUUAUAUUAUAUGUUAUUAUUAUGUGUUAGUAAGAUGAAGGUUGUUCUAUAACCUAGAUAUGUCGGAAUGUCGUAGUAUUUUGACUACGUGGUAGAAUUAAAGUGUUUGAAUUUUCAAGACGAAAAUAAAAGUUUUCCGAGAAAUUUUCCGAAAAACACUAUUCACUGAUUUCUGCUCAGUAAUUAUUUUUGAACUUCCGAGAAAUACGUAACGAUAGAAUAUCAAAGUAGGAUGGAUUAUGUAAUAAUAGAUCACGUAUGGCAAACGCAGUUUUUCGCUUGCGGACUAAAUUUGAGAACGUUAGGGAAAGUAAAACGUUAAUGAGUUAAACAUUGAUCGUAUGAUACGUAAGUAUUGUACAAGGUAAUGAAUACGAGUUAUUAUACGAGUAUGUAUGAAUGAUGGUAUGUCGUAUAUGAUGAAUAAGUAUACGAGUUAAUUAGUAUACGAGAAUAAUACGUAGAUUAUACGUUAUAAGGUAUUAAGCAAGUGUAUUGGACUUGUAGGAUUGUGUAGAAGUUGUACAAGCCCAAGUGAAUUAAGGUAAAUCCCAAUGUUUGUUAAUGCAAGCCCAAAGAAUAAGUUAAAGUUAGUUAAAUCUAAAGCCCAAAGUAAGAACCGGAUCCGUGGAUCGAUCCAAUGGGUAAGAAUGACCCAUGGGGCAACCCAUGUGGGCCCCAUGAUCAUAUGGCAUGAUCUUGGCGACCAAGCAAAGGAUAAGUUGUGUGAUGGCCAAGGGAUGAAUAGUAAGGAGGUGGUUUAAGGAGGUGGGAUGACCUCUUGAGCAUUAUACCCUCAACUAGGAUUUUCUAUAAAUAAGAGAGUGGCUAGUUUAUUAUUCACUUGUUAAAUUUUUCACCAACAACUUAUAACUUAUUUAGUAGAGAGAAAAAGUAAGAAAACGCUAGAUUUUGUUAAUCCAAGAAGCAAGAAGCAAGAAGGAAGAACAAUGAUUAACCAAGAGAUCAUCAAGGGUAAGAAUCCUAGACCAUUAAUCUUCCAUCUCUUCAAUAAUAGUUUGAUAGAGAAGUGUUGAUUAGUGGAGCAUGUAUGAUAAGAAGUGAUAAGUAUGGCUAAUCAAUGGACUUAAACCUUAAUAAGCCAUGAACAAGUAAUUCAUACUUAUUUAAGUUAUGAACUAAUGAAGAACAUUUAAGAAUUUGUCAUGUGUAUACAUUAAUGAAAUAUGUUUGGUUAGGAUGUUAGUAUGAUGGAAUGAAUCCAUUUGAAACGAUGUAAAAAUCUCAAGUAAUGAAGUUAUGACGGAAUUUACGAGAUUAGACGAUAAUCGUCGAAAUCGUGAAAUUCUCGGAAUGGAAGUCAAAUUUUGACAUUGAACUCAGAAAUGUUGGAUUUCGACGGAAAAUAGUCCAAGUUUGCAUUUUAGAGUUGCGGACUCAAAAAUGGUCAAAUUCUGACUUAGAACGAAGAAACGAGCUAUGAACGUUCACGAACGUUUAUCGUUUUCGUUAAAAUGGACCUAAACAGUGAAUUCCGUAUUAACGGAUUCGAAAAUAUAAAUUUUUUAUAUGAACACUUAGAGCAUGUGAUUUGUGGGCUAAUGGCUUUUGAACGAGCCAAUUCAGACUUAAAAUGAACAAUUUAGGAGUCUGGAAAGUUCGCAAAGUAAGAAAUCUAUCAAAACUAUCUGGUGCACAGAGUUGGCGCCGCAGCGCCAGCCUAGGCAUAAUAAGUGGCGCUGCAGUGCCAAGCAUGCCAAUUAGCCACUGAAGAGUGGCGCCGCAGUGUGGCACAAAGAGGAAAAUUUUGCGCCGCAGCGCCGAGCCAAGCCAAUCACCUACUGGAAACUCACGCCGCAGCGCGACUGGUAACGAAGGAGAUGGCACCGCAGCACCAUGUCCGAGUCUUAGACACUAGAGAAUCACGCCGCAGCACGAGUCCAAGAAGGGAAGUUGGUGCCGUAGCGCCAGCACUAGACAAAGCAUAGUAAAGAAGGCUUAUAAAGAUAGAAAGGAAAUUGGUUGAUUCGUAAUGAACUAACACAUUAAGAAACCUAAAGUAACAUCCUUAAAUGAUGUUAAAAACCUUAAGUAAUACAACUAAAGGUAGAAGAUAAGUUACUCGAAUGUGAAUGUAAAACAUAACGACAAACCAGAACCAAUGUUAAACAAUCUAAGGCAUGAUUAGAUUGAGAAGAAGGGUAAGAUAUAGUAGUAAUCAUACUUGAUUAUAUAUGACCUAAUGUGGUAUGUUAUGUGAUCAUGUAUUGUAGAGACUUUAAAGACUCAAAAGGAAAAGUACUUAAACAAUAGCAGACACUAAAGGCAAGUGUUCUAACCAUUGUCUAUGUUCAUUGUGGACAAGCUUUGUGAUUCAUGUAUCUUAUGCAUGAAUUGAUGUAUGAUGAAGUCGAAGCCAAUUCUUUCGGCUAGACUUAAGAUGUUUUUGGAUUUCUUAUAAUCUAUCGAACUGUUAUCAAGUUUUGCCAAACUAUUUUGGUAUGGUUUUCAAAAGAAGACUGAGUAUGCAUGCUAAACAAAUGUUUUGUCGUCAAACUACAGGCACGUGAGGUUGCCAAAACUUAUACGUACAUACGUUUAAAGAAAGUAGUGUUGUACAACAUAGACUACUAUAGGCUGAUCACCUAGACGUGCUCGUAAGAUAUGUCAGACUUACGGACAUGGUGUCGGGUUGUCUUUUUCAAAGAAAGUAUGAAAUGCUCAAGGUCUUGGACCGGAAUUAAUGUUUUACUGAAUGUUGUUCAUUGUGAAACGUUUUAAGAAAAGAGAAGUGCUAUUUUGAAUUAUCGAUAGUACUUCAUAACUAUUAUUCAGUUAUUGAAAAUAUACAAUUUGUAUGUUUCAAGCAUAUUGUUUAAAUGGAAUUGUCAUACUUGUUGAGCUAGUUAUGCUCACUCUUGCUUGAACCAUAUGAAUGCAGCUAAGACCGAACAAAUCGAAGGAUCUGGUAAAGAUAAAGGGAAGGCUAAGGCAAACCUAUAGAUUACCUUUGUAAUAGUAUAGGUUGAAUGUUGUUAUUAUUUGAUAUUAUGACAAGAACACAUGUAAUGGUUAUAAAGAACCUGGGAAAUGGUAAUAUUGUUUGGAAUAUAUAUAAGACAUAUUCGUUCUUUUGAGGCUUUUCAAUGGAAUGUAUAUGUGAGCUGUAGCACCGUGUCGCACCAUAUAUCGGGUUGGAAGAUACCCAGAUUUGGGGGCGUCACAGGUUCGUAUCAAAGCAGUAGGUUAUAAAACUUAUGGGGGAAAAUAGAACCUUAAGUCAUAACCUUAAGAAAAGUCAAAGAAGUAAAAAAUGAAAUUAACCCUAAAAAUGCAAUAUAUAUGAUAUGUGUUUUUAUUAUUCUACUGACGUGUACUAAUCAAACUAAAUUAUUUUGUUGUAGAUGUCAGGAGAAAAUGAAAUGUAUAGGGAUAUACAUGUAGUAAGUGAGGAGUUGGUGAAUCAAAUAGAGAUCCUACCGAACCCUAUAGCAGAAGAGCCUGAAGUGGUGAUAGUUGAGUUUGGAGACUCGGAAAACCUAGACCUUAUGUUUGUGUUCGAUGGCAUGUCUGAAGAAGAGGUGGAGGUGGUGUCAUUUAACACCAUAGCACCUGAAGAAGAGAUGACUCUGGGGGAGUCAAUGAAAGCACUGUUUAUGACAGUAUUGGAUAGAAACAUCUAGUAUUAUAAGGAGGUAAAGGAGCUGAAGGAGGAGCUCCAUGUUGUUUUAGAGGAUAAGACAAGUAUGGAGUCGAUGUGGGAAGAGGAACAUGAUGAGAAGGUUUUGGUGAAGGACAAGGUCCAUGAGCUGAAACACGAUGUCUUUGAGCUCAGGUAGGAGCUAAAGACCAAGAAGCAGAAGAUUGGGAGGAUGUCCUAUAUACAUAGGAGUUCUCAAGCGGAUUUUCAGCAGCAAGUAGCUGGGUAUCCGAUAGAAGCAGGGAAGACUCGGCAUACUAUCAGCCGAGAUAUUAUAGCCGGUCUUGCCAACAUGGAUUUUGAGAAUGCCAUACGGCAAAUGUAACCUAGUAUUAACUAGAGUAGAGUUAGAUAUGUAAAUAUGAUGUAUCUAGUUGUGACGUAAAACUCUCUUUUGUAUAUCAAAGGUUAGUCUUUUGUAAAUCCCAAUUUUUAGAAAGCAAUUGCGGGAUAGUAAUGUAAUCAGCUAAGGCUGUGUAAUGACGAAUGAUGUAGUAUUAUACUACAAGAAGCAAAUCAAUAUAAGUCUUGUUAUGGAACAUAUUGUGUAAUGAAUUGAAGUUAUUGUUUAAAUCAUGAAUAAUAACUAACUAACAAGAAGAAAGUAAUAAUGAUGUGUUGUUUAAUUUAACAGCAAAAUGCCGCCAAGACAAAGAAAUCAAGAUACUAAUGUUAAUCAACCGGAAGGACGUCCGGUUAACCCGAUGCAAGAGUUUGUUAACGGCCGCUUUUAAUAGAAAUGGGGCUAAUAUACCCGUAAAACCUGCAAUGGUAUGAGCUACUACUUUUAAGGAUUUUAAGAAUGUCGGUACGCCGGAGUUCAAAGGAACUACGGAUCCCAUAGAAGCCCAGACGUGGGUAAAAGAAAUAGAAAAAACAUUUGUUAUUGCAAAUGUCAACGAGGGGCAAAAGGUUGCUUUUUCUACCUACAGGAUGAAGGGAGAGGCCAACUUUUGGUGGGAGGAAAACCAGGCUGGUAUAGAAAACCUUACAUGGGUGUGGUUCAAGGAGAUUUUCUUCGAGAACUACUUUCCCAUGAGUAUACAGGGGAGGAUGGAGAUGCGGUUUCUAAAGUUGAAACAAGGGGAGAUGAUUGUUCCCCAAUACGCUGCCAAGUUCAAUGAACUGGCGAGAUUUGCUCCACACCAAGUGGAUACGGAGGUUAGGAAGGCUAGAAGGUUCAAGCAGGGCUUGAAACCCUGGCUCUAUAACCGGAUAUCAGUGUUCCAAAGUACUUCUUUUGGGACCAUACUAGAAAAGGCAAUAAUUAUUGAAGGUGGGAAUGAGGCUUUAAGCCAGUACGUUAUAAACGACAGGCACGUGAGGUUGCCAAAACUUAAACGUACAUACGUUUAAAGAAAGUAGUAUUGUACAACAUAGAGUACUAUAGGUUGAUCACCUAGACGUGCUCGUAAGAUAUGUCGGACUAACGAAUUUGGUGUCAGGUUUUCCUUUUCAAAGAAAGUAUGAAAUGCUCAAGGUCUUGGACCGGAAUUAAUGUUUUACUGAAUGUUGUUCAUUGUGAAACGUUUUAAGAAAAGAGAAGUGCUAUUUUGAAUUAUCGAUAGUACUUCAUAACUAUUGUUCACUUAUUGAAGAUAUACAAUUUGUAUGUUUUAAGCAUAUUGUUUAAAUGAAAUUGUUAUACUUGUUGAGCUAGUUAUGCUCACUCUUACUUGAACCAUAUAAAUGCUGCUAAGACCGAACGGACCGAAGGAUCCGGUAAAGAUAAAGGGAAGGCUAUGGCGAAUCUAUAGAUUACCUUUGUAAUAGUAUAGGUUGAAUGUUGUUAUUAUUUGAUAUUAUGACAAGAACACAUAUAAUGGUUAUAAAGAACCUGAGGAAUGGUAAUAUUGUUUGGAAUAUAUAUAAGACAUUCGUUCUUUUAAGACUUUUCAAUGGAAUAUAUGUGUGAACUGUAGCACCGUGUAACACCAUAUGUCGAGUUGAAAGAUACCCGGAUUUAGGGGCGUCACACCCAUAGCACUAACCACGGGCUACCUAUGCAAAACAGAAUCAGGAAUUUUUUUCUUUCAACUGAACAAUAUAUAUAUAUAUAUAAAGUAAGUGGUAAAGGUUCAAUAGAACAUCACAAAGCACUAAAAAGGGGAUAGAGAGAACUAACAUAGAUUGUGAAGAGCACUGCUACAACCAAAAUUACAUAUCCUGCAUUAUAUGCUCGAAAUCUAUGGAUGAGGUUCCUCGCAACAAGAGUGCAAAAGAUGACAGAAGGAACAAGGAUAAGCAAUACAGUAACUCUUAGUGCCUUAAUAUCCGAUCCAAACAUCAAUCUUCCAUUGAAGAGGAAUACCUAACAGUAAAAACAUGAAAAGAAAUUAAGUUUCAUCAAAUAAUUGUUUUCUUUUCUUUUUAUUAAUGAUUCAGCAGAUAACCAUGGGAGGAGGAAAAAAGAGAGGUGUUGGGUCAUAAUAUUUCUCCUAUCUUGGGCCGGAUAGAUUGGGCCCAUUUAUUAGUAUAAUCUAUUGGGCUUUUAUUAUUAAGCCAUGGGACUCUUUGAGCCCAUUUAUUGUGUCAACUUUAUUUAAUUCUAUUGGACCGGGUCAGACCAGUGGAUCGACCCAUUAGAUAUUUUAAUAUCUGUUACUUUGACUUGUGAUGAUGAAAAAGCAUGACAGUUGACCAAUCCUCCUGCCAUGCAUUAAUGUGGAUGGGAUCAUAACCGGCCGGCGGGAGAAAACAGUGGCCAAAAGCAGUAGAUAAACCUGAUAUAGUCGGCAGGGUCCAUCAGAUCAGAGGGGGUGUCAGGUAGUAGUGGGUGGCACAAUAAUCCAAGCAAAAGUAAUAUAACUUAGCAAGGAAGCCAUCGUAUAGAGGUAUGUUCUCUCAUAUAUUGAUUACUCAUAUUCUCCCAUACACACGACUGAGAUUUUAAUUCUCUCAAUACACUAGACCAUAUAUUCCUCCAUUGUUAACCUUGUGAACACGUACUAAUUCUCACGCCUGAGCUAUCCCCCGACGGAACCGCCGUCAAGCUUUCGGUGUUGACUGUGUUUACUGUGCAGGAUCAGGACGUCUUACGUGAUUGGGACGUGGAGAAAGAUCUUGGCGUUAACAUUGGCGCUAGAAGGGGGGGUUUUUGAGUUCUAGUGUCAUAAAAAUUUUCAAUCACAAUCGUUUAACCUACUUCAGAAGAUGAUGAGGAGUAGGGAUGGUACACCAGAAGGGCAGGCGAUGGCUGUUAGCUCGUCACUGCCUCGUGUUUCGGUGAAGGAUCGUCUGGGUCCUUCCAAGAGUGCUCACGAGAGCACGGCUUCUAAGCAUAAUUCAGGGGAUCUCCGUCCGAAGAUUCCGGGCGGGGCUAGACGAAGAUUGGUUUUCGAUGCGAAUGAGGAGCGAGAUCAUGGUCGAGGACAGGUGGAAGGCUCGCCAACCAAGAUUCAUCAUAGAAGUAGCCAAGGAGAUAGAGCUGCCAAGUUGGCGAAGAUGGCGGACGAAGCAGACAGAGCCAUGGCGGUCCUAUUAAAGCAAAGAGAAGAUAUAGCCGAACAGAUGCUUCGGGUGGCGGAAUUACAAGACGAAGCAUCCAGCCAUGAUCAAUACGAAAGACGCAGUGGGCAUAAGGAGGAGACUCGACGAAAGGGUAAGGAGCCGAAGAGGUCCCCGCGGGUUUCUAGGGAUCAUUCUCGAAGUAGGAGAAGAUCGAGAAGCAGAACUCCCAUGGCCUCGAAGAAGGCGAUAAUGGCCGUUACUUCUCAGCAUCGAGAUGAUUAUCAACAAAGGAGCAGGUCGAAGGAGGUCAUACCCGAAGUCCGGGUAAUGGACUAUCAACGUGAUCAUUCUCACCACAAGGAAAGAGUUGUGUACCGAAGCAGAUCAAGAAGUCCCUCUAGGGCAGUAGGAUCGGCAGGAGGGGGUCGAUCCUCUCAGAGACAUAAUAUUGUUCAUGAGAAAGAGGCUUCUCCGCAGCCUGAAGGCGUUGAUUUUCUAGUAAAGGAGCUUAAAGAGCUUAGAAAACAACUGGCUGAGGUCCAGCAGGUGAAGGACGCUCCGGGAAAGAAAGCAUCCCCUUUUUCCUCAGCUAUUCUCAAGGAAAAGGCGGAUAUCACUAAAAAAAUGCCUCGCAUGGAAAGUUACGAUGGAACCGGAGACCCUUAUGACCAUAGCCAGGCGUUCGACCGACUAAUGGACUAUUACGACUUCACUGACGCUGCCAAGUGCCACACCUUUGUUACAACGCUCAGAAAAGAUGCGAGACAGUGGUUGGGAACUUUGCCUUCAGAUUCCAUAUCCUCGUGGACCGAACUUUGUGAUAAGUUCCAUGCCCGUUUCGGGAGCAACCGAAGAAGAGGAAAGCCCACGGGUUCUUUGGCACAGAUCCGGCAGUUUGCCAGCGAAUCUUUGGGCCAGUAUGUAAAGAGGUUCAGAGAAGCAGUCGGUCAGGUGUCCGAUCUUAAUGAUCUCCAGGCUGUAGGUUUGUUCCAGAAUGGAUUGGAUCUGGUAAAGUCCGAAAAGUUGGUGAAGAAGUUGAUGUUCAAUCAUCCGAAGAGCUUGGCCGAAGCCUUUGACAAAGCAGAAGGCUACAUCGUUGUGGAAGAAGCUAUGAACAGCCUGAAAAAUCCUCUUUCGGGUCAGGGGAAAGAGUCGGUGGCUCCUAAGCCCGAAGUUGAACAGAGGAGAACGGGGGGGUAUAAUGAUCGGACAGAGGGCAGUUCGAAAAAGUACAAUAAUUCCUGGCGGCAAGGAAGCAGUCAUCCCUCCGUUCCGGCCCCGAAGGUGAAUAAGAUCUACACCAAACUAAACACUGAUAGAUCGAUAAUUUUGGAUCAAAUCAGAAACCAACCUUUCUUUGAGCCACCCCGUGAUAAUUACCGAACUGGGCAGGGUAACUCUCGUAAGUAUUGUGGCUAUCAUCAGGCCGCUGGCCACGACACUAACGAGUGUUGCAAUUUGAAAGACUUUGUGGAGAGGAAGAUUAAAGACGGCUUGUUGGUGCAGUAUGUGGCCGUAAAUAAUCAGCAGAACGUUAACCGUGCUGUUCAGACGGUUCAAGGGGCUACAGUACUACCGCCAAGGCAUGUUAUCGAUGUGAUAACCGGUUGGUCCGCAGGGAAAUUGAUAGGGAAGAAGAGAAGGGCUUACCUGAAUUCGGUCAUGACUAUGACAGAUGCUCACCUGAAAGCAGAUAGACCAUUCCCCGGGACUGUCAUAUCAUUCACCGACGCUGACUCUCCUUCUGAGCCCAUCGAGCCGCAUGAGGGGGCCUUGGUGAUCACAGCGCAAGUGGGCACGGUGGANNNNNNNNNNNNNNNNNNNNNNNNNNNNNNNNNNNNNNNNNNNNNNNNNNNNNNNNNNNNNNNNNNNNNNNNNNNNNNNNNNNNNNNNNNNNNNNNNNNNNNNNNNNNNNNNNNNNNNNNNNNNNNNNNNNNNNNNNNNNNNNNNNNNNNNNNNNNNNNNNNNNNNNNNNNNNNNNNNNNNNNNNNNNNNNNNNNNNNNNNNNNNNNNNNNNNNNNNNNNNNNNNNNNNNNNNNNNNNNNNNNNNNNNNNNNNNNNNNNNNNNNNNNNNNNNNNNNNNNNNNNNNNNNNNNNNNNNNNNNNNNNNNNNNNNNNNNNNNNNNNNNNNNNNNNNNNNNNNNNNNNNNNNNNNNNNNNNNNNNNNNNNNNNNNNNNNNNNNNNNNNNNNNNNNNNNNNNNNNNNNNNNNNNNNNNNNNNNNNNNNNNNNNNNNNNNNNNNNNNNNNNNNNNNNNNNNNNNNNNNNNNNNNNNNNNNNNNNNNNNNNNNNNNNNNNNNNNNNNNNNNNNNNNNNNNNNNNNNNNNNNNNNNNNNNNNNNNNNNNNNNNNNNNNNNNNNNNNNNNNNNNNNNNNNNNNNNNNNNNNNNCCAGAGAAGAUUCAUGCCAUUCUUGACAUGAAGACUCCUCAGUCAUUCAAAGACGUCCAACGUCUGACUGGAAGGAUUGCAGCAUUAAGGAGGUUCGUCGCCAAAUCUGCAGAGAGGUGCCUUCCUUUCUUUGAUACAUUGAAAGGACCGAAGAAUGCGAAGACGUUCCAGUGGACUUCAGAGUGUGAAGACGCAUUCCAGAGCAUAAAGGCGUAUCUUUCUUCGGCUCCUUUAUUGGUGAAACCCAUCCCAGCGAAGACUUUAUAUCUAUAUCUGGCGGCAAGUUCGUUAGCGGUUGUAGCAGUGCUGGUUCGGGAGAUCAGUGGAAGACAGCAUCCAGUCUAUUAUGUUAGUCACGUCCUGCGAGAUGCUGAAACCAGGUAUCCAAAUAUUGAAAAAUUUUCCUUCGCCCUGAUAAUUGCUAGUAGGAAGCUUCGGCAGUAUUUUCAAGGUCGGCUCCUGGUUGUCUACACUGAUCAACCAUUGAAGAAGGUGAUGGGCAAGCCAGAAGUUUCAGGAAGGUUAGCGGCGUGGACAAUGGAGUUGUCACAGUUUUUCAUCGAAUACCAUCCAUGAACCGCUAUCAAAGGCCAAGAUUUGGCCGAUUUCAUAGUAGAAUGUUCAUUCACCGAAGCAGAUGCCGAGUUACCGGAAGUUGAAUCCUCCGAUCGAGUAGUUGCAGUUCUUCAACAGGAGCAGAAUGUUUGGACUCUAUAUGCAGAUGGUUCCUCUACCCUAACUGUUAGUGGGGCAGGAAUUAUCUUGACGAGUCCGGACGGGUUCAAAGUUCAACAGGCCAUCAGAUUUGGAUUUAAAGCGACAAACAACGAAGCCGAGUAUGAAGCAGUGCUAGCGGGUGUUCGAUUGGCAAAGAGUCUAGAGGUCCAGAACCUUAUCAUCUACAGUGACUCUCAGUUGGUUGUCAAGCAGCUAUCAGGGGACUAUGAAGCUUGUGGGAAUCGGAUGAUCAAGUAUUUGGCGUAGUUAAAGGACCGACUUCAGUAUUUCGCUUCGUACGAAUUUCAGGGCAUAGAGCGUAAUGACAAUUCUAUCGCCGAUGCAUUGUCGAAAUUGGCUACUACGGAUGCAGAUGUUUUUAACGGAUCAGUUUACUUGGAAGUUCUGCAACAGCCGAGUGUUCAGCAUGAAGCUGUGAUGUGUAUCGAACGAACUAAUUGCUGGAUGACCCCCUACAUCGAAUAUUUGGCAGAUGGCGUCCUUCCUUCGGAUCAGAUGUUAGAAAAGAAGAUCAAAUACAAGAGCGCCAACUUUACUCUUAUUGAUGGCGAUCUUUACCGAUUGGCCUUUUCUUCACCAUUACUGAAGUGCCUGGUCCCAUCUGAGGUGGAAUAUGCUCUUCGGGAAGUUCACGAGGGCAUUUGCGGUGAUCAUAUGGCUGCUAAAUCUUUCGCUUACAAAGUACUUCGACAAGGAUACUAUUGGCCUACAAUUUUCAAGGAAGCUACAGAGUAUGUCAAGAAAUGUGAAAAGUGCCAACUCAACAGUCCGAUCCCACAUCAGCCACCGGAAGAGCUAUACUCGAUUUUAUCUCCUAUACCCUUCGCUGUCUGGGGGGUAGAUAUAUUAGGUCCAUUGCCUAAAGCUAAAGGUCAAGUUAGUUUUGUCAUAGUUGCUAUUUAUUACAUGACUAAGUGGGUAGAGGCGAAGCCGCUUUGGUUAAUUACGGAGCAAGAAUGCUUGAAGUUCAUAAAAGAAUCCGUAGUGUUUCGCUUCGGGAUCCCUAGAGUAUUAAUAUCGGACAACGGACGUCAGUUUGUGGGAUCAAAAUUUGAAGCAUUUUUAAAGGAGUUGGGGAUUCAACAUAAGAAGACUUCGGUGGCUCAUCCACAGUCAAAUGGCCAAGUUGAGGUGACCAACAGGACGCUGCUGAACGGGAUCAAGCGCAGACUAGAUGAAGCUAAAGGAAGAUGGCCAGAGGAGCUGCUCAGCGUGUUGUGGGCUUACCGGACUACACCAAGGACUACCACUGGGGAUUCACCCUUUCGACUGGCCUAUGGUACUGAUGCCUUAGUCCCUGUCGAAAUCGGAUCUCCAAGUCUUCGGGUCAGUCAAUACAAAGAAAUAUACAAUGACGAAGGACUGAAGGCCAAUUUAGAUCUACUAGAAGAAGUUAGAGAGGUUGCUCUACUUAAAUUGGCUGCUUAUCAACGAAGAGUAGCGAAGCAUUACAACAAAGGAGUCAAACUUCGCAGAUUCGAAGUAGGAGACUUCGUCCUCAGAGAAGCCGAAGCUUCUACACCUCAAAAUACGGGAAAGUUAAUGCCAAACUGGGAAGGACCAUAUGAGGUGAUCGAAGUAUCCAAACAAGGCACUUACCGGUUAAGGGCAUUAGAUGGUUCCGAAAUCAAAAACACUUGGCACGCUGGCAGGCUUCGGAAAUACUUUCAAUAAAGAUCAAGUUANNNN